Molecule: long non-coding RNA, 49528 nt
Filed under: Daucus carota (carrot)
Lineage: Eukaryota; Viridiplantae; Streptophyta; Magnoliopsida; Apiales; Apiaceae
Description: long non-coding RNA (DCAR_LNC003383)
Source: RNAcentral
AUACUUUUUAGAUUAAAAUAAAUAAAAAUUAUAUGUGUUAAGCAAUUUGAAAACAAAACAACUAUUGUAGUUGACAAUUUAGAGGUUUUACAAAAUCACUUGUUUGUCAAAAAAAUAUACACCAUCUAUCCCUCUCAUUUCUUUACGUUACUUUUUGGCACGCUUUUUAGAAUUCAUUUAAAGUCUAAUUUCAUAAUAUAUUUUUUUUCCUGAAUAAAAAUUUGAUCUUCAAAUUUCUAUUACAGAAAGAAAAUUUGAAAAAAAUAUAUGAAACUAUGAUUUAUAUCAGCCCUAAAAUGCGUGCAAAGGGUGGGAGUAUAUAACAUUAACAAAUAACUAUACAGCAAAGAUCAUGAAUAACGCAUGCUCAGUACAAUUUAACACACGAGUAUACUUUAUUAUAUGAAUACAUAAAACCAUUGAUAAAUAUUUGUACUAGGACUUUUGCCCGGCUACCGCCGGUAUAUUCUUACUCAGGAGUACUGUGAAAAAGUCGAAUGGAAAUUUUUCAAACAAAAGGUCCACACAAAAGUCUAUGCUAAAGUGCUAUCAUAAGUCCCUAACAAUUUUUUUUUAAGGGUUUGUCUAGUGUGUGCCCAUGGGCACAUUUUAAGCACAAAUUUUUAUAGGUUUGGGGGAUUUUGAUUGGUGUGGUUGUUGCAUUUGCAGGGGGGUCCACCAUUAUUAAUAAACAACAACCAAUCAAAAUGAGUCAAACUUGUGGAAUUUAGUGUUUAGUGUGUGCCCAUGGGCACACACUAGAAAAACCGUUUUUUUAAUAUUGCAUAGGUAUACGAAACACAGUGAGCAUUCUUAUUUAACCAAUUGGGCCGAAGCAUAACAACUGGGCUAACGCCGGCAUAUUCUUUGGCAGGGCUAAUAUGAAAGAGCUUGGGGGAAAUUGCUUAAACAAAAGGUUUACAUGGAUGCUUUUAAAUACAGCACAUAAUAAUUUCUUUAAUAAUACGAUGUAGGGACAUAGCAAUAAGUAAAUUAUACAAAUUUUGCCCAUACAUUACUUGGCUGCUCUUAAGAGGAAACAUGUUACUCUUUACGUUUUAUAUUAUUUGAUGUUUUGAUUUAUCAUACCAAAAAUCCGACGUUGAUUGGAUGAUAAAAAUUAUUAUUUUUUAUUGAAUUUUUUGUGAAUUAAAAUAUUAAUUAUAUAUUUUUAUUCGGAUAAAAAAAUUUAACAAAUAAUAUUUUUAAAUACCGGAUCAAAUCACUUAAAACUACAUGCCCAAAGUGUUAAAUAUUAAAAAAGAGAGGGAAUAACCCAUUAAAAUGUAUUUGGAACAAAAAUAUAUAGUAAAGAAAAUUGUAUGUAUUAUUAUAUUUAAAACUGUCAAAAUCUAAUCAAUCCAUUAUUAGGUAGAAAUAUUUUUAAAGUAAAAUAUCCACCUAUGAGUUUUGUUGCAUGAGAAAUACCAUAUUUCUUAAUUAAAAUGAAUUCGAAGUCUGGAGCACUUCUUCACACACCAUUUCAAGCCGGUAGUCGUUGGUCUCAACUCUCAAAGAAGAAUUAUAAAACUGAAUAGAGAAAUGGUUAACCUGAAUCGUGGAAUAUCAUUUAAAUACUGAAUUAUGUCUGAGGUUGUGAUUUUUAAUAUUUAUUUUAUUUUAGAACUAACAACUCGUUCACAGUAGUAUUAUUAGUUCUUACUGUCCCAAAAUUAUAUAUAAUAAAUGAAAAUAAAUAAUUUUUUGAGUAAAAACUUAAUUAAUAGUAAUCAGGACUUUUGUUUUUAAAAAAAAUAGUAAUCACGACUUUAAAAAAUAUGCAGCGGGUACUACAAAAAUGUGUACAGCGGCCUAUUAUUUAAAUGAGUCUUGUCAAAGGAACCAACUCCUCUGUAACUGACUAUCCAAUAUGAAAAUAACCACUAUCCACCAACUUACUAAUUUUUAUUACUCAAAUAUUAAUCUCUAAUCAGUGAUAAAUUCAGUUGUUUAGUUCAAUAUAUGUUAAUAUAAGUACAUCUUUAUCUUAAAUGGCCUGAUGCACGAUUGAAAAUCAUUGACUUACGUUAUGCUUUACGUUCAAAUUGUAAAAUUGUUCAUGACUUUAAAUAUAAAAAACUUUCAAAACUUUAGAGUCGUAUAGUCAGUGGCGGAACCAGGAUUAAUUUCGACCCCGGGCUAAACUAUUAUUAAAAUUUCAGAAAAAAAAUUAAAAGUAAAUAUGUAUACCUUAAUUGGUUAAGUGGUGACAUCUUUACUGUCUUUUUUUUAGGAAGGAAUGGAUGACAACUAAAUUUUAUGAUUUUGCAUAUUUUGAUAGCGUUGUAAGAUAACUUCAUAGCCUAUGUCUUUAAAUAUGACCUUCUCGAUGUAAACCACCAUGUUAAGUGGGCUAUUAUUUUUAUAUAUAUAAUCAUUUUUAAAUUUGUCCCCGGGCUAAAAAGUUAAAAAUAAAUAAAUUAUACUUAUUAUUUUUUUCUCAGCCCGGGCUGGCGCCGGGGCUAGCCCCCCGGUUCCGCCCCUGCGUAUAGUGCAAUUCUAUAUUUUCCCUAUUACAGCUUUUCUUUUAUACAUGUGUCCGAUGUAUAAUACUAACCAAUAGCUAGACAUAGGGCCUGGAGUUAAUGCGGAAGAAAAUAUGUGAUACACUCGAUCAGUUUGAACAACUACAAUCACUACACAACAUCUUUAACUGACAUGUUGCGGAAAACUUUUAUCUUCUGCAAUGAGUAUAAAGUUGAAAUUAAAGCAACUCAUUUGUAAAAAUAUAUUACAACAUAAUUGUUGAGUCUGACUUUCUUCCUGGUUAAAAAUUAUUUAAAAUCAAGUAAUCCGAAACCUAAAACUGCUUUUGAACUGAUAUACAUGAAAUAUCUGGUAUAACUAAACAACACGGCAGAACCGAGAAAGACCCCAAGCUUGCUUUCUUUUCAUUUCAAAAACAGGCAGACUUUGUAAUAUUAAGUCUACACACCACUUCAGAUGGAAUUGUGGGUUGAACUGUUCACAACUCAUUACUCAAAAACGUCUUCCACUCCCACAAAGUAAUACUUCCUCCGUCCCCCUCAAUUGUUUACAUUGGAGGGGGACAUGAAGACCAAGACAAUGUAUGAAAAAUGAGUAAAGUUAGAUGAAAAGUGGGUAAAGUGGUGGGACCUAUCAAUAUUUAAUACUCCCUCUGUCCCAUUUUAACUGAUGUUUGACUUUUUAACACGUAUAUUGAGGUGUAAAAAGACAAUGUCUACGCUUAAUAAAAAAAUUCAAUUCUUAUAUCAAAUAAAAGUUUAGAUUCUAAAUUUUUAUUUGAUAUAAAUUUUAUAAAGAAUAAUUAUAUUUAGAUGUGAUUUUUUUAACACCUUAAAAUACGUGUAAAAAAGUCAAAAGCAGUUAAAAUGGGACGGAGGGAGUAAUAGAUUUGAGAUAGUGGAGGAAAGUAGUGGGUGUAAUAGUAGUUUUUAUUGUUAAAUAUGAGAUAGUAGUGGAAGAUAGUGGGUGUAAUGAUGAGAAAAACUUACUAUUUAUGAUAAUGUAAAGAAAUGAGAGGGCCAUCCCAAAAUAGUAACGGUAAACAAAUAAGAGGGACAGUAACAACAUUAAUAGUGCUUUGUAUAAUGAGUACAAAAGAAAAGUUUAACAACGUCGCACAUCAAGCAUUUACAUUGUGAUGUGUUAAUACCUCACUUUUCAAACAUGAUUCAAACUGACUUAAUACAAUAAAAAACAUAGAAUAGAAACAGAAGACAGAGUACAUGAAGACUCCAAAUUUGGUAUUUUUUCUUUUCAAAUUCAAUGGUCUAUUAUUGAAUGUACAUACCAGCACGGAGGGAUCUACGCGAACAAAAUUAAAGCAGUAAAUCAAUAAACCAAAUAUACUACCAAACAAAACAUAUAUAGAAAAGUGGUCCUUGUAUAAAAUAGUUGACCGGAUUCUGCCUAACAAAAUAUGCUUAAAAACUACCGACAAUCUAUCGGACAUUUAUAUACUAUGUUACACGUAUAUGGUAGAACACUUCCUUAAACACAACAUUAUCAGUUAUAUUUGUAUUGUGUCCACUGCUAUCAUCAACGAAAAUUUUAAGACCGCGUCGACUGGUAAACCGAUUUACAGCAACAUAAAGUUGGCCAUGCGUGAACACUGAUAUACCGGGCAUCUUUUCAAUAGCGCACACACCUUUGACAAAAUUCUUAUCAUACCGCGCAUUAAGAUUCUCACAAUGCUGCCGAUAUUCAUCAUCAUUAGUAUCUGCAAACAAUUUGAAUAUAUGAAAAACAAAACAGUAAACUAUUCCUCCAAACAUAUAAUGUUAAAUAAUUCUUACAUACCAUCAUCACGAAACAGAAUGCAUUAACGUAAUCAAGACCAACAAUUCUGGACUUCUCUGCGAUGGUUAUGUGGGUGGUAUGUUGUAAUAAAUUAAAAGUGAACUAAUAACAUCUAAAUUAAUCUCUCACCAACGUCCUCAUAGCCCACUACAUACUCCACGAUCCUAUCCGACAUUUGAUGGCCAAAAGCUAGUUUCUUAUUAACUUCAUCAACAACAAAAGUCUCUUUCCUGUUCAAUUUACUCUUCCCACGAAUACCUAUACAUAAAUAAUAUAUCCAUGCAUGUAAAAAAAUUCCAAUGCAUGGAACAAAAUAUGUGCUAUAAUAUAUAUAACACAGUCAAUCACCUUUUAUACUUGAAAUUAUAUUUGACUUUAACUGAUCAAGAGGAAAACAUUCAGCGUGAGGAGAUUCACAUUGAUUGGUACUCGAAAUAGGGGGAGACAACGUCUCUGAGAUUGCACGAUAGGUUCUUUUUCAAAGCAUAAUCAAAUGGUGAGUUAUAAGCUAUAACUUGCGUUUCAUUUAACUAUUACAUAGUAACAUGUAUAUUACCCGGGUCAAAUUUGGAGGACAUAACAACCGGAAAUUUUCAUCGGACAAAAGACCAAGCAUAUGUAUCAGGGAGGGUGUGCCGUUGAUUUCUAUGGAAUAUACAACGAAAUAAGAGAUAAGUAGGAGAAUGUUAAAGCUGUCAUAGAUUGAAGUAUAACGGUUGCAAUCAAUUGGUUUACCUGGCUACUUCGCUGCGUACUGCAUGAACAGUGACCGCAACCGGCUGCGAGACCGGUCCGAUCAAGUUAACUGCUGGAACAGGAUUACCUACAUGGUAUGUCGUAAUGAAAAGAUUUGGAGAGAGGUGAAGAUUUAACAGGAAGAGAUUAGCGGAAUGAAUUUUUUAAAGAAUCCAGAUACAGAUCUCACCGGACAGAACCGACGAAACCAAAGCGUUUUUAUCAGUCUUCCAAUCAUGGUACAACCCAAUAACCCAUCAGCAGCAUGAGUUUCUCUUCCCUGUGCAAGAGACAUAACAUAUAUCAACAGCAGACAAAAAAAUAAUAUAUAUCUAAAUUUAAGCGUCGUUGAAGAUAUACCCAAACCAUUAGAAACGGUAUUCGUUUACUACGAAGAGAAUGAGAGACGAAGACGGCUUCACCGGAGAGAGGAGGAGCAGUUUUGGGGGGGAGUGGAAAUCAAAACUAAACUGGGCAGACCUCCAUGUUUGAUCCAACCCAUCAGAAUCAGAACCAGACGUAUCGUUGUGCUGCGCAAACAGAGUUCAUUUGAUGAAAUCAAUGUACAAACAUAAAUAUAAAAGAGAUUUAUUAUGCUGAAUCGUUACCUGACCCGCUGAAAAAUCCAUUCGUUAUUAUCUUGAGAAUAAUGGCGGAGAGAGCUUGAGGCUAGAGCAAAGAAAGCUUGUGGAGGGAAAACAGAACAAAAGCAGAGCAGUGACAUUUGAAAAUAGAGAGGAAAAGUCAAAUAAUUACACAGAUUUGAUAGCCAUAAUUCAAAAUUCAAAAAGCAGUGUCAGACAAUAAUGAUCAAUGGCAGUGCCCGUAAAUAAGAGGCCCGAGAGGGGCAGUCGACGUAAUUAGGACGCAUUUUUGCCAUCAGGAUUUAUAUUCUGUAGAUAAUAUAAUUUAUAGGAUAGUGCAUUUCCGGCAUGGUAGCGGUGGAACUGGCAUGGUAGACGUGAUCAGGGACACUUCUUUCGACCACCGUGAGUAGUCAUAUUAGCGUAACAAGGACAAACUUCAUAGUUGCCGUAAGUUCCUGGAGGUACGCAACUGCAGCGCGCGCAGCAAGUCCCACAUGCCCUGUGGCACAGAUUUGGCCUGCUUGAUAACUUGCAUCUCUCGCCGCAUCUCGCUUUGCAAUCUACAUUACACACAACAGAUCAUCAGUGUUUUUUGUGCAUGUAAUUUCUCUCUAUCUCUAUGUAUACACAUGCUUAAAUUUUACCUAUUUUCUGGACAAGAGAACGGCCGCUGGUCAUCUGUAACAAGAAAGAAAUUAAUGAGUAUUAGGCAUAAAUUGAAAAAAUACAAAAAGAGAUCUAAACUUGAGCAAAACCAUACCAUGGUGUCAUCACUGUGAGCAAGUUGCAGAAGAGGAAGAGAGAUGAUGAGAAAUAAGAAAAGUUUUGAUGACCUGCAAGAAAUGGCCAUAGAAUUCAGGUCUUGAAACUGAAAGAUUAUUAAUAUAUUUGUUUUAAUGCUAUGGAGUGUUGAAUGUGCAUGUAGUGGUAUUUAUAGAGUGAAUUCUAUGGAGCGGAGCUUAAUCUGUACCAUUAAAAAUAUAUUUUUUAAUGGUACUAGAAAUUAUAUUGGUCCAGGGUGAAGCUAGCUGGAGGCCUUAGAGCUCAAUCGACCUUUGAAAUGACAGGAGUGCUAGCUAGGUACCUAUACAAGGAUUGAUAAACAUAUGUUUGUGGACUAAAAAUAGAGUAAAACAGAAUUUUAUCCAUUUUUUUAUUUUAAUUGUCAGAAAAUUUAAAUUGUAAUAGAAUGAUUAUAUGUUCUUUUAAUUAAUUAAAAAAGUGGCCCAUGAUCAUUUUUAUUAGAAAAAGAAAUUAGUUUUUACUUAGAAAAAUAUAUUUUUGUCAUUUUUCUAAAAUAUAAAAUUAAUAUCUGUCCAUCUAUUUAUAAAUUUUAAAUUUUGAUGACCGAAAUAUAAAAACAGAUAAAAUUCCGCACCAGCUUACCUCCUAAUAAUAUGAAUCCACUUCCGUGUCCAUCACUCCUCUUGUGUUCUAAUAAUAGCCGAUGUAAGUCUAGAAAACCCGAGAUUACCAUAUUGAACGUCUGAAAAUAAGCGAGGAUUAUUACAAAUUCAUUUCAAGAAAAUUAGACUCUAGCAUAGUACAAGACAUCCACAGCAUACAGCUGUGAUUUUGCUGCUUCAACUCACAUCAGUUCAUUCAAGGGGCACUUGCCCACUUGCAUGCGUGGAGAAUUUGCUACACUAUUCUUUCCAAUCGUUACGUGAAGACACGGAAAAAACAAGACAUGCAUUUUCCAUCAGAAAGAGAGAGACUUUUUGUCCUAUAAGAAUGUUACAUGUCUAUCAUUCAUGCCAUACAGCUAUUAGAAAGCUCAAGUCACUCGGGCUCUUUUCUUAGAUAAAUUAUUGUGAUAUUGCGACUUGACGAGUUGAAAUUCAACACCUGCAGUGGACAGCUGAUAUAUAUAACUACUUCGUUGUUACGGAUUGAGUUGGAAUUUGAUUAAACAAGGGUGAAAAUGCUUUACACACACAUGAUUUUUAAUUAGAUAAAUCCCGUCUUAUUAAAAAAACACGGUAAAUAAUUUCGUUAGCUUUGAGAGGUUUGGCUGUGCCAGGACCAGAUGAUCACUUUUCGUCACCACUCAUUUAUCUCAAUAAUAAGGUAAACUCAAUGUUUAAUAAUAAUAAAUAAUUUCCAUAAAAUUGAUGCACGAUUUUGAAUUUUAAUGCUGAUUUAUUCGUCAAAAGUUUAUAUGAAGAUCCUGCAGCAUCUUUGGAAAUUUUGCAAAUUAUUGUUGAAGUUUAAUCACUCAAUACCUUCUACCUUGAGGAUUAGCAUGUACUAAUUAUUUCUAUAAAAAAAUAAUCUUAUUAGCAGUAUUAAUAUAUGUAUACUGUAUACUAUUAAAAGCGAAACAAUAGAAUUGGUAUGUACUAAGGGCCUUUUGUUUUGGGGUAACUGACAAAAACAAAGGAAAACAACUAACUUCAUUGCCUUUGUUGGUGUUUGUUUUGUAAAAUUUGUCAUUCUCUUUCCCCCUUUUUAUGUGUAGGUUUACCCAACUUUCUUCUUUAUCCAUUCCCCACCCCACCACUAGGUAUUUGAUUUCCCUUUCCUCAUUGUUUUUUCAUUUUCAUUUAUAAUUUAUUUAACAAAUCAUUAAAAAUAAAAAGUGAUAUGUAAAUGCUUUUUUGAAAAUUAAAAUUUAAUUUUAAUUUAACUCUUAUAAAUUAAAAAGAAUUUUGAUAUAAUCUAUAAGUCAAGUCAUUCAAAUAAUAAUAAUAUUUUUAAAUAAUAAAUUAUAUUAAUUUAUAAAAUAAAAAUAAAUAUAUCUUUAUAAACAUAAAUAUUACUAACUUUUUUUCAAAUUAUGUGAUAUUUGAAAAAUUAGAUAUAACAUUAAUCAUACAACUUUUCAUUCUAUUUUCAAACUAAAACCAAACAGGUGAUACAAUUCAGCAUCGGCGACUCAUUUAAGCCACUGCAAACCAAAUAUAUAUCAUUUUACCCACAUUACUAUUCAUACCUCCUUACUUAAUCAUUUAUCAAAAAUUAACCGUUUAACUUUUUACUGCAAAACCACUUCGAAUGCUUUCAUAAUUGUCUCUAGUAUUUAUCAAGAUUAUUUGGGAUUUUCUAAAAUAACAUAACUAUGUAGUUAAAAAAAUAUAUAGUUAUAAAUAUGUAUUUAUGUGAUCACCCUAGCUAUGUUGCUUUAUAAAUUCCCAAAUUAUUUUGAUAAAUACUAGAUGCAAUUAUGAAGGUACUUGAAGUGGUUUUGCAAUAAAAAGUUAAACGGUUAAUUUUUGAUAAAUGAUUAAGUAAAGAGUAUAAAUAGUGAUGUGGGUAAAAUGAUAUAUAUUUGGUUUAUAGUGACUCAAAUGAGCUACCGAUGAGAUGGGUGGGUCAACUGAGAUAUUUUGACGUAACCGGUGGCCAGUUUGAUAUAAAACCCUUAUUUUUAGUAGCACAAAGUAAGAUAUAUACAUACUAUCGAUACCGAAAAGAAAAGGAAAUGUAUAAUUAUAACAAGCACAUCUUAUGUUGCCUCACCCAGCCCAUUUUAGCCAUGUUAUUAGUAUUGAGGGUUUUUUUCCCCGAUUGGUUUAAUGCCUUGAAUACUUUUCCCGACCCAUCUCCCACUCCAAGCGAAUUCUUUACUAAUGCGGCCGAUUCUAUGUUCCUUGUGAAAAUUUCUUUGAUCCUAAUCACUCCGUUCUUGACGCGAGUUAGGCAUUCACAAAUAUAGUAUACAUAUUAGAUUUGUUCGAGGAGAAUCUAGUAAAAAGAAUCUAAAAAAUAAAUGAUUAAAAAUAAAUAAAAUUAUUAUAAUUAGUUUUUUAUUAAAAAAAAGAAAAUAAUUCAGAACGAAAAAUCAUACGGCAACUAUAUUAUGAUCACCUGAGCAAACACAACAAUAGUGUGUGUAUGCUUUCAAUCCAAAAGAACUCAAAUUUGUUAAAUCCAGCAAUUUUUAUUGAAUAAAACAUGUUCAAAACAUAAUCUAAUAUAUAUUUAUUUUUUUGGAAUUUAAAAGCUAUUUAUAGUUAUCAGCAUCUAAGCACGAUAUUAUGAAAAGCUGAAAGCUGAUAUAGGCUUCUUUUUCCUGAACAUAUCUCUCUUAAAGAACGUCAUCUAUACGUGAAAGUGUUGGUUUACAAUAUUUGAGACAUCAUAUACAAAAACUUUAGACAUUUUAACCUUAUGAGUUUUGGGUCAAUGACUCCAAACUAAAUAGUCUUAACGCAUCGGAUUUUUAAAUUCUCCAAAGGACUUAAUAACUUGAGUUUAUAUUUUGGAUGAACUUAAAAUAUUUGUUUGCUGCAACCUUUGGUGUGAAUUUGUCAUCAUAUCAUUCAAGUGAUUCAUCAAUAUGUUUAACUAACUCGAGAUUUUCUCCUUAUUUAAAAAAUAAAUAAAUUUGGCAUCGAAGCCGAAUAUAAAAUCAAAGAUGAUAAGUCAGUUAUUGUUGUGGUGCAUGUUUCUAUGCUUAACUUCUUUAUUUUUGCACAAUAUACAACUGUCCAAACUUCGGUGAAAAACACAUACUCACUCUGUUUUCAAGUAUUUGACGUUUGACUUUUUGGCACACAAUUUUAAGAGCUUUGACUGCAUACUUAAAAUUAUUAUAUUUAAAAGUUUCUUUUUCUGAAUAAAAAUAUUAAUCUUAUACUUUAAUUUACAAAAAGAAAAUUUUAAAAAUAUUAAUUUUGGCUAUGCAGUCAUUGCACUUAAAAGUGUGUGCACAAAAGUCAAACGUCAAAUAUUUGAAAACAGAGGGAGUACAAGCUUGUUGCAUAUGUGGGGAUGAUAACCGAAUAAGUUGUGUGGCUCCUUUUUGCACGUGUGUGGAUUAUGAGUGUAAUUAAGUUUGCCCCACACUAAUUAACAUAAUAUUCGUAGCUGGUUCGAUUUCUGUGACUAAUUCGAUAUUAUUAUAGUCAAUCCUUAAUAUUAACUUGUUCGAUAUGCAACUCGCUUGUUAUUAAUUAAAAUCAACUAUUUAUUUUUUCCUACACGAUAUAAAUUGUUGUACUAGUCACUCUUAUAUUGUUGUUAUAAUCAUUAUAAUGAAUUAUGGUUAUAUUGGAUUUGAUAUUACUGAUCGAAAGCCCUUUUUCAAAGCACAGUUGUUUUUCAUAUAUAUUAUUUUCUAAGUUUGCAGUGAGGUGAUGAUCUUUGUUAUCAAAGACAUACUAGUAGAGAGUUAGCUAUUUUUACAUCCUAAGUAUGAUGAAAGACCAAACAUCUAAUUAGAGAAGGGCACGCGGGCACCUCGGGGUCGGGGAGUGCUAUCCCCGUCCCUGAAUUCAAUACUCAUUCCCGACCACGCCCAGAACCUCGAAUGGGGAUUUUUUUUUCUCACCGAUCCCCGCCACAAACGGGGAACGGGAACCCCGGCGGGAAUUCGGGAAUUUCAUUAUUUAUGUAAAAUAAUAAAUUUAUAAUAUAUAAUAUGCUUUUUAACAAAACAAACAAACUACUAACUCGUAAUACACUAAUAAAAUGAUAUUAUCUCAUAUUUUCAACAUUAAAUCAUAUUAAAAUUGAUGUAUAAUAUAAAUAAACAGCAAUUUUAAAAUUUUAAAAUAUAUUAUAUUACAAUUUUUUUAUAACACUUACCCCGUUUCCCGCCGCGUCCCCGAAUUCCGUCCCGAACAAGGCGGUGAUCGGAUCGGGAUCGAGCGGGGAGGGAUGAAUGCCCAUCCCUACAUCCAAUAUUUAAGAUCCAGGACCAACAAAAAUUAGAAGUACAAAUACUACGGGGCUGUUUGGCUGAGUUUAAAAGAAGUGACUUAUUGCUUAAAGUAAAGAAGUGGAUUAUAAGUGAUAAGUUGGUUUGGACUUAUAAGCUACCAUAAGUGUUUGGAUACCGUGACUUAUAAGUUUUUUAAGUGUUUGGAUAACUUAACUUAUAAGUUGGUAUUAGUUUGGUAAUUUUGUAAUAUAAUAAUUUAUUUCUUUUAAAAAAUAAAUUAUAAUUAUAAAAGAUCUUUUAUUGUUAAUAUAUGAAAUAUAUGAAAUAUUUUACAUUACAAAAUUUUAAAAUCUGCAUUAAAAUAAAAAAUUAAUAACCACAAAUAAUACAAAAUUUUCCGACAUAUACACUAAUUAAAAGAUUUGAAUCUACAGAAGUAACUACCGAGACACUCAUCCUUGGCACAGGACACCUGUGAUACCUCUAACCACUCUGGAUCCCGUAAACAACUUCUUUAAAAGUAAAAAUAAAAAUAACACAAAAUAAAUCUUUGGCACAAAAUAUUUAUUUAGUCGCUGCUAAGGUCGAAGUCCACGUUUUCUGUCAUAAAAAGAAGCAGAAGUUAGGUCUCCAAAAAAAGCUAGGGUAGGAAGCUUAUUUGUUGGGCUUCUUUUCGCUCUAUUAAUAGCUUCCUGAGUUUUGCCAAACAGGCAGUUAAAAGUGAAAGCGGACUUUUGAGGCUUUUAAGCCUAUAAGUCAUCACUCCCAAACACCCACUACAUCAAGGGUUCUACAUGGAUUUUGAGAAAGUAACAUGGAAUUAUGUUCCAAGGCGAUUGACGUAGAUUUUUACAUUUAUAGUGAGAAAGUAACGAAGUCUUACUUUCCAAGAUUUAUAUGUGUAGAGUUGUAAAGACUUCUCUGCCUGCUAUAAAAAAUACAUGUUUUUAUAGUAAAAAUCUUGAAUCCGAAGUGGAGUUUUGAGACUAUACUAGGAUGAGCAUAUCCGUAAGAAAUUUCAUCAUCACAAAUCAGGAAUAAAAUCUCUCGCGUGAUAUUUCUCUCUUUCUUUACUUCUUACUUCCGUAUAUUAAACCGUUAUUAUUCUUGAUACAAGAUUUUAAUAAGAGUAUUUUUUAAAAGGUGUCAUAUAUUUUCAAUUAAUGAUUAAGUUAUUAAACACACCUUCUACCUUAAUUAACCGCUCUACCAGAAGCUAAUUAAAUUAUUAAUUUGAAUUUAAUAGGAUGAUAUCUUUUGUGGCGAUAAAAAAUUAAGAUCGAAUAUUAUUGUGGUGACAAUUAUUUUGGUACGAUAAUACUUUAUAUAAACGUCAGGCUAGUAACUCACGUGUGUCAAAUACCUCUUCUAAAAUAAAAGAUGUAUAAAAUUUCCUAAUAAUUCAUGUAAUGAAGUUUUUUAAAUAAUCAAAUAAAGGCCUAGAUACUUACAAUCCUGGUAAAAUAAUACUUUUUUUUUUUGAAAGGAUGGUAAAAUAUAUACUUAGUGAUAAGUCAAAAGAACAAUAAUUCAAUUCAAAUAAAAAGUAAUGAACUUUAUUUUUUGUCAAUAAAAAAAACUGGAAUGAAUACAAAUUGCGGUUUGCCUGAUUUCAUGCCUUCCGUCCACCGUACAACAGAAACAUCUUAAUUAAAUAUCGGGCAAAUAUUAAAGUGAUCAAGUGGGGAGCAUGACACAAGGCAUUUUGCCAGACUAGGUCAAUAAAGUAAGCCAUAGACAGGUCCAGGACUGAGUAUAGGGGUACAUCACUUCACGGUAUAAGAUAGGAAUUAGGUACAUUCGCCCAACCCGCUAAACCCGAACCGUGUACACCUCUAACUGGGUAUAUAUCCAAAUCAUCAAAUUACUUUAAAAAGUCCAAAAAAACUUACUCACUCCGUUUCUAAAACCUUUUUUAAUUUGAUAUGUUGGGAAUUUUCAUAACAUGAGACAAAUUAUUAAUUCUAAUUUUUUAUGAUGUGCCCAUGGGCAUACAAUAGUCACUAACUCCCAUGAGAAUACUAGCUUCUGAUUGGUGGAUGGAUAAUAAAAUUUGAUGCCCCAUGCAUUUACACUAAUUCCACCAAUCAAAAGAAGUCAUUUUCAUGAGAGUUGGUGCUUAUUGUGUGCCCUUAGGCACACAUUAGAAAGACCGUUACUAAUUUAAGUCUAAUUUAUAAGACUAAACAUAGGCAUAAGUGAUGUUGUUGGUUUCAUAGUUAUAAGUAUUUUAACACGGUGAAAUUUUUAUAUUGAAUACUAGUCUGAAACUAAAGAUAUUAAUGAUUAAAAGUGUGUUUGCAGACGUAAUAAAGACAAACAAGAAAAAUAUUAAGAGAUGGCAGUGAGUAUUAUUUAUAAAAUGAAAUAUCAUAAUAUUCGUACUACAUAUAUUGGCAAAACCGAUCAAUUCGACACAGACUGACCUUGUUUUCGGCCGAUCUAAAUUCUUUAAAUUCAAACCGAUAUAUAUUGAAUGAAAAUAUUUAAAUCUCAUUAUAAUGUCUUGGGUACAAGUUUAAAUUUUAUAGCCAAACCUGACCCUAUUUUAAAAAGAGAAAUAAAUAUAUAAAUGUGUGUAUUUAUUUUGGUAUUAGAAUCUAUACUUAAUUACUGAUCGUUUAUUAUUGAUUUGCAUAGAGAAAAAUGUUAGAUACUCCAAAAAAUUUCUCGAAUGAUGUGUCGAAAGUAUGAUUGGUUGCUUUCACUCCCAUAAUAAUGACACCCUCUGCAGAUUCAUCAAUCACCCAAUCAUAAUAUUCCAUGUGUUUACCACAUCAUUUGGUAAAAAAAUUUGGGGAAAUUUUGGGGCACGACAUUGCCCAUAGCAUAUAUUUUUGGUCAAAUUUCAAAGACUUUGGCUCUGUUUGGAAGUUAGAGGUUUGGCCAAAAAUUAGAGGUUUGAAGUGAUUCAGAGGUUUGACCACUAGAAUCCGCUAACUUUAGUGUUUGGUAGUUAGCGGAUUGAAAUAGAGGUUUGAGUCCAAAAAGCUAAUUUUGAAAAAGUUACUUUGAGGAGCUUUUUGGAUUAGAGGUUUUGGUAUGUGUCAGAAAAAGCUAAUCAAUCAGCUAUUUACCAAACAGUUUUAUGAGAAACAGCUAAUGCAAACCGCUAGUCAAAACAUCUAAUUCAAUCAGCUAGUCAAAACAUCUAAUUCAAUCCGCUAACAGCUAACCGCUAAUUUCCAAACAGGGCCUUUAAUGAGAAUAGUUUUAGAAAGAUAAAAGUUGAUCUUAAGCAAUAUUUCUUGCUAUGAUCAAUGAACCAAACAUAUUGGAACUCGAUAAUCAUGUGAAAAUAUUAUAUAUAUAUAUAUAUAUAUAUAUAUAUAUUACUCAAAAUAUACAAAUUCAUAUUUAAUAUUUACAAGUUACUCAAACAUGACAAGAUCAAACUCCAAAACACACCUACGUAGAAUUAACUGGUUUCAUUUUAUGUAUACCUUUUUAAUUGUACAUGUGCAUGAGUUACCCGUCCAACUACUCAAAUUAAUCCCAAUCAUCGAGGGCCGUUUCAUAUCAUAUGAGGGUCCAUGGUGAAAUAAAAAUUUUGGACCUCUCAAGAAAAAUUUCUUAUAAAAUAUUAUGUAGUCUUUCAAUUUUUGACUCUUGAGCAUAGGCUGUGAAUUUGAAAAGCAAUAUAAUAAUACAUAAUAACACACAGAUUCAUGGGUAGUCGGACAAAACCUAUAUUAAACCUUAAUGUAUACUACACAUGGUUAAAUUUUGGGUCCUCUAAAAAGCAUGGCCCUGUCGUCCUGCUCACCCUCCCUCUAGAUCGGGCCUGCAAUCAUUUUGCACUAAACUGUUUGAUAAUUAACGGUUAACGAAUUGAACUAGGUGUUUUGACUAAUCGAUUGAAAUAAAUGCUUUGACUAGCGACUUGUAAAAUUGUUUGAUAAAUAACUGAUUGAUUAGCUUUUUGUGACACAUAUCAAAACUUUUAACCCAAAAAAUUCUUUAAAUUAGUUUUUUGAAGAAUUGCUUUUUAGCCCAAACCUCUAUUUCAAUCCGCUAACUAUCAAACACUAACAUUACCGGAUUGAAAUUGUCAACCCUUAAAACAACUCAAUCAUCUAAUUUUAUCUCAAUAUCAAUUUUCCAAACACGGCCAAGGCUGUCCUGAUUUUUAUUUAAUGGUGGGUAGUAAAUUUUCAAAUCGAUUUAAUUACUCUCUCCGUCCGACAAUACAUGUCACUUUGAUUUUUUUCACGCAAUUUGAGGUGCAAAUAAAAUAUAUGUCUAUAUAUUAUUUUUCAAAUUUUCUUUUUUUAAAUAAAAAUAUAGAUGUUAUACUUUUAUUCAGAAAAAAAAUUUUGAAAAAUAAUGUAUAGAAAUGUUUUAUUUACACAUCAAAUUACAUGCAAAAAGUCAAAAUGACAUAUAUUUUGAGACGGAGGGAGUACUAAAUACAUAUAUUGGAAACAUCGCGACUCGAUCAAUCCAGCUCGUGUACAGCCGUGGCCCGUGCUUGUAAGCAUGUUUAAUGUUACGGAGAAUGAAUUAGAAAUAUCAUUAAUUUAUCUACGGAGGUGUGAAUAUACGAGAGAUACUCUGGCUAAUUCAAUGGUAGGUAGCUUCAAAUUGGACAGGGCCAAUAAUGCACGUACACGUAGUGAAGACUAAUAGACUAUCAAUAAAUAUUAAGAGUACCUCACAGCUGACUUUCUUCCUUCUGAAUCUUAUUACUCUGUCCUUUCUUAAUACUGCUACUGUAGAAGAUAUACGUGGUGUACUAUUGUUGUCAUUAUACGACCUAUUCUUUCGAGGUGUGGGCCUGUGUGGCGAGGUUUAGAACUCCUGCUUCUAAAUUUAUAAAUCAGAAAUAAUUUAGUUAUUAUAUUAUAUACUCCUUCCGUCCCACCAGAUUCUUUACAGUUUCCUUUUAAGCCGUCCCACCCAUUUCUUUACAUUACAAAACUUUCCUAAAAUAGUUUAUGGGUCCCACCACUUUCACACUUUUUCUUCCUUUUCACACUACUUUUACUCCACUACCUCUCUUUUAUAUAUUAAAAAUCAAUGGGUCCCACCACUUCACCCACUUUUCUUUCUCUUUUCUACUACUUUAUACAUAUUUCUUAACCUCCGUGCCCAAACCCAAUGUAAAGAAUUGGGUGGGACGGAGGGAGUAAUGAUAAUAAUUUUUUCAAGUAAAAUUAGAAUUUAAACUCCAAUUUCUUGCUUGUGUAUAUUAAAGGAUGAGAAAAGAAUUUAUAAAAAUUAAAAAGAUGAUUAAUUAUGAUAUGUUUUAUUUUUUUAUCCAUAAUCAUAAACCAUUCAAUUAAAAUCAAUUCACUCGGAAGAAUAUUUAUAAAACAGAUUUGUUCACUGAUUCUAAAGUAUACCAGUAAAAAUAUGGCUAGAUUUAUGACAACAGAUUAAAAAUUUCAAAAACAAAAUAUUAGAUAUCUCAAAAAGUGUUUUCAAACUUUCUCCAAUUCAUAACGUAUGAUUGGUUUCACACGCAUUAAUAAUAAUAAAAUAUUUAUUUAUAUAUAUAUAAACCAUCCAAUUUUAUUGGUAGAAAAAUGUUUUAUGUGCCAGGUUGAUUUUUUUUUAAUUUCUUCGUUCAAAGAAGAGAAAAAGGCGGGGGUAAAAAAGUAAGGGUCAAAGAAGAACAGAUGUUGCUGACAGUGACAUCAAUCAGCAAAGACCAAACUCUAAAAACGGCUUCAUAAUCAUCGUAAUCCAAUCUAACUGACUUUUGGUAAGAAAUAAACAUCCCCCCUUAAAACCCAAAAUUAUAAAACACAAACCCAAGUCAAUAGUUUCAGCUCUCCACGCGUCUUAUAAUCCCCUCUUUAACUAAUCACAAUUUACUUUUCACAAUCCAUUCCACUUCUUUGAUUAAUUUUGCUAGGCUUCUCAGCUUCAUUUCACAAGUAAUUGAUUUGCAAUGGGAGGUGUUUGCACUGGCGGGACAAUUAAGCGCACUAGUAGCAGUUCUGAUUUUCAAGAAAAGACUGAUAAUGUUAAUGUUUCUGGUUUUUCUGGGAAGCUUAAAUCGAUUAAGAGUGGGUUGGGUAAGCAGAAUAACAGAAGAAAGGAGAGCCAGGAUGAUGGUGAUGGUGAUGGUGAUUUGUAUUUACCGGAUGUUGAGAAGAGGAGGAGGACUCAUCAUAUUUUCGAUUCCGGGGAGCUUCAUUUUUCGAUUUCCAGGGAAUUGAAGUCUUCUUCUGCUCCUGUUCGGAAUCCGGCUGCCAAGGUUUGAUUAUGUACUACUACUAGUUGUUUGUCUUAAUUAUUGUGUAUUUAUAUGAAGUAAUUAUGAGAUAUGAUUGAUUGAUGAUUGCUACUUGAUUUUCAUUACAAUUUAGAAUUGUAUAUUAUGUUACUCCGACUCCCUUGAUGUCGGUUGUAGUAUUUGAUAAUUGAUAUGUGUCGGAUCAUUUGACUGAAAUGUGGACACUUUGACCGUGAGACUGCAUUUGAGAUGAACUUAUGGCAAAAAGGAAGAUGAUGAGUAGACAGAACGGAAUUUUGGACUCUCUAGCAAAUGCGGAGUGGAUAGACAUUCAUUUCUAAAAGGAAUUGUAAAAGUUUCUUACGUGUCUUUGUAGGAUUAGUAUUUAAUGACUCCAAUAGGUAGUUACCCUUGGAACGCAUGGUGAUAAAGCAACGGGGCGAGUUGUAACUAGGGGUAGGAUGCUAAGACUAAGAGCAUCUCCAAGAGAGUAGCUGAGAAUUCUUAAACUAUGGUUUUGAAGAAUAUUGUUAGCUCAUUUAAGAGUAGCUAAGAUGUCUUAAAUGAGGAAUGAGAGGAUGAUCCUAACUUUUUUAAGGGAAUGGUUAGGGCUCUCUUGGAGUUGUGUUUUCUGCCCUAUUCCUCAAAUUAUAGCUUAGGACGUCAAAUAACUAAAUCUCUUGGAGAUGCUCUUACUUCCCACCUUCUUCACAGUUCACACUCUCUCCCACCUUUUUCAUAUUAAUUUUUUGCUAAUAGAUAUUGAAUUUAAUACUAUAAAUGAUAAUAGGGAACACAAAUAGGGAUAAUUGUUGAAAUUGUCAUUCAAUAUAGUGUCCUCUCUUACCAAAAACUGAAUUGUUAUUAUAUAUUUAGGGAAUUCCACCGGGACACUCUUGGAGAUGCUUUAACUUACCGGGAAUUGAAAUUUUAUUAUAUAUUUAGAGAACCCACUAGGAUACUCUUGUUGAUGCUCUAAGUAAUCAAUGAGUGCGUAUUUUGUUUUUGGGUAUAUUCUACUUGUAUUUAAAUAUGUCUUGGCGUAUUGCCCACCAGUGUAUUGGCUUUAGUGCAUGAGUCGAUGCCUUGUAACAGAGGGAAGUUUAGGAUCUGAUAAGACUAGUACAGACCAGGAUUUUUUUGUACUUCAUUCCACAUUCUGGUGUUAAUAUAUCCCCAUCUCUUCAGUAUGAAGGUAGACUUUCUGGGUGAUUGGUCAUUUAUACUACAAUUAUUACAGCAUUGCACUCUGAGUGAGGGGAGGGCACUCACAUAUAUGUCAGCAAAUGGGGAUAUAUUAUAUUUAAAAUGAAUAGUGCUCUUUUGAAAUGAUGGUUUUGGAAGAUCUAGAGUUAGACUCAAAAAUCCCCGUAAAAUAAGGACAUCAUCACUUAACUUUACUGUUUUAAGAUCAAAAACUCUAGAGCUUGAGUUCUGCCUACUUCUACGAUCAUCCUGUUCUGCAACGUAUGUACCUUAACUAAUCGAAAUUAUCAGCUGACAAGUAUGAGAAAGUUUUGUGUAAACUACCAAACAUCUGAGCCUAAUGAUAAUAAAGUCGACACUAUGUAGGAACUUGAGAGCCACACGAAGAAGCUACUUAAUGACGCUGUUAAGCAGGCAUGUCAUUAGUAUCUAUUAAGUGCAAUAACAAUUACAUAAUUCUUUGUGUCUGGUAUUGUGUUGUCUAAUAGCUGGUAUUAUAAUACAGCAAAACUUUAUAAAUCAUCUUGAACUCGCAAAGACCACAAAUGAACAUCUUGUUUCAUUGUAUUGCAUCUUUGAGAUUUUGAGUUUCUGUACUGUAUUUUGUCCUCUCUGAUAACGCCAAUCUCCGAUCCCGGUCCUUCCUCCGCCGUGACUGGUGGUUCCGUGGUGUAGCUGCUGGAUGGGAGCCUACAAAACAACGCCGGCGGGGGGGUUUGGCCCCAAAGCGCCUCCGGCGUGAGAGUAAGCGUAGGUUUCGGAAGGAUAAGAUUAGAGAAAGUGCUAUCUAUGUGUGGUGGGUGAAGGUGUAUGUGUGGUGGUUGCUGGUGGCUGGUGGCUGAGAGUGUUUGAAUAUAUGCUGAGUGUAAAUGUGUGUGAGAAUAUGAGUGUAGAGAGUGAAGUUAACCCCUAAACUCUUGAUCCUUGGUCUAUUUAUAGGCCAAGGAUUAGGGUUUAAGGGUGCGUACCUGGAUCCUGGUCCUACACGUGUAGGGGUUUGAUUCCCUACACUCCCUGGCUCGUCUCUAUCGCCAGUAGUUGACCGUUAUGUUUGUCUUUAUCGUGUCAGUCUGUGCCUUGUGCAGCAAGUGUCGGCCGGUACGGGUGUGUCCGGGUAAGUUGUGAGCUUCGAUGUACCCGGGUAAGAAGUCCCGCCGUGGUUGUGUACCCGGGUAAGAUCGAGGAUUGCCUUGAUUGUCUUGUGUGGUCGACAGCCUUGUUGGUACCGGGGCCCAUAUAUAAACCCGGGUAGGUAAGACUUCGGGUUAUACCAUAUCACUCUCUAGAACAUAUAACAUUUUUUUUAAGCAGACAUGACAGGUAAAGUGAAAAUUUCCUCACCCAUCUUGGCUUUUGAUAGAAGGAUUUGUACUCAACAUAAGAGGCUAACUUGCAAAUGUUGAUCUAUGCUUGCUAACGUUAAAUUUACAUUUUUUAUGUAAAAAUCUGCCGUGGCUUUGUUUCACUGAAGACUUUAUGAUAUCAUGGUAGGGACCUCAAGCUGGUUCAUUUCUUGGUAAAGCUGGCAUUGUGGGCUUUGAGAGGGCAGUGGAUGUCCUGGACACACUUGGUAGCAGCAUGACAAAUUUAAACGUCGGAAGUGGUUUUGUAUCAAAUAUGGCUUCAAGAGGAAAUAAAAUAUCUAUCCUUGCAUUUGAAGUCGCUAAUACUAUUGCCAAAGGUUCAAACUUGUUGCAAUCUAUUUCAGAAGAAAAUAUCCAAUUCCUUAAAAAGGAAAUUCUUCACUCGGGAGGAGUACAGCUGUUAGUUUCUACAGAUAUGACAGAGUUGCUUAGAAUUGCUGCUGCAGACAAAAGGUUAGUCAUACGUUUUAUGUUACUGGAAGCCAUUGUUCACAUUGAAAGUGUUUAUAAUCAGUUUCUUUACAUUCUAAUAAUUGUUUGUAGGGAGGAAUUUGGUGUCUUUUCUAGAGAAGUAAUUAGGUUUGGAGAUCUAUGUAAAGACCCACAAUGGCAUAGUCUGGGGCGUUAUUUUGCAAGGUACCUUAGCUUUUUAUAUAUAAUACUCAUAAAACUGUUUAUAGUCUGCUGCAAGAUCAGAGAUAAAACUUAUAAAUUAUCAUAUUGUCAGAUUGGAUACAGACCCCGUGACCGAAAAACAACUUAGAGAAGAUACAGAGAAGACAAUGCAAGAAUUGACCAAUCUGGCUCAACACACUUCUGUAAGCUAUUACACUGUUUUUUUUUAGUUUUCUACGUAUCUUCAGGGGGACACAUCCAUUAUCUGAAUGAUUUACAUAUGUUUGGCUAGGUUUGCUGUAGGGUUUUAGAUACAUCAAGUCCUUGUCAAUUUUAUGAGAUAUUUAGUUGCAUGCUAUCUUUCUAGCAUCAAUUCCUUUAGAACAUAUAGAUGCAUCUCACUACAGGAAUUAGUGUUUUCCAUAGUCACACCAGUUCUGUUGUAAAAGUUAGUUUAAGCUAUUACCAGAUGCGCCUGUCUAUUUAUUCGGUGACUUAAUUACAAGGCCAACUCAUAAUCAUAAAUUACAUAUAAUAUGCAGGAACUAUAUCAUGAGUUGCAUGCUUUAGACAGAUUUGAACAAGAUUACCGGAGAAAGCUUGAGGAAGUGGAGUCUUUACAUCUUCCUCGAAAAGGUUAGACCCUUAGAAUUGGAUAUUGUUCUCUUAUUCUGAAGCUCAGUUAUGAUGGUGUAGUUUAGCACUAACAGUCUUAUGUUUGCAAUGAUAAAUAUUCUUUUAUUGUACAAAGACCUCUCUCGAAUCGUAGUUUAUAGUUAAAUGAUUUGACGACAUGUGAUAUGUUUAGCAUUAUCAGUCAUUAUGUAGGUAGCAUUAGUAAACUGCGAUAUCCCUCAAUUUCAGUCAUAUUGUUCGAAAUGUUUUUCAAACUAACAAUACUGGUAUACGGUACAUGUCCUCUUCACUUUACUUCAAAGAAUUCAGACACUCGAACAAGAGUACAUGCGCCAGGCACUUCUUUCCAGUGUUGUUACUACACCAUAAUGUUUGUUGAGGCAUAAGGGCGCCAAAUUUUCACAGUAUAUUUCUACAAUACUAUACACUCGUUCGAAUCAUUCUGUACCUUUUUUUUGCUAAAAAACAUAAUCAUUUUUUCCCAACAAUUUGAACAAUAAAACGAUAUUUUACAUGAUUCGCAAUAAAUAUCCUAUUAAUCAAACAAAAUUUCAGAACUCUACUAGAGAUUGGUGGCUGGAGGCCAUCAGGUAGUCAUGAUUUGCUCAAUGAUUGCAAGUUACAUGUUGAGCAUGUUUAGAUCGAUUAGAUUUGUAACAGGUGAAGCACUACUUUACAUUUUGCUUUUACCCAUUGGAUCAGAUUAAAGCCAGCUUCCCAAUACUACUUAUGGCCCAAUACUUAUAUUUAUAACCAAAAUGUUACGUCAUCUAAUAGAUAUGCUACAUUUUAAAGUAAAAUCUGCCAGACUACAGGGUGAUGACCAAUGUUAGAUAUUAGAAGAACACGUGUCCCUCUGCCUGAUAUCAAUAUAUGGCAGAUAUUGACACAUUUAUUAAUUUAAAACAGCUCAUGACUUUUCUUGACUAAAACUUUGCUUGAAGACUUGUACAUUUUCCAUUUUAUGCUGUUCAUAUUGUUUUUGUGUUUACUAAACAAGAAGUUUAGUAAAUUGAAUAUUUUUCAUAACUAAUUCAUUGUCCUGGCAUUGUAGGAGAGGGUUUGGUGAUUUUACAAUCUGAGCUAAAGCAUCAAAGAAAACUCGUUAGAAGCUUGAAAAAGAAAUCUCUUUGGUCCAGAAGUUUGGAGGAAGUAUGUUGUCCAAUAAAUAUUUUUGUUUUCUGACUGCAAUUUUGCAUCAGUUUACAGUUACAAGUGUUUUAGGUUUCACAAUCGAUCAUUCAGAUAGUAUUGGUGAUUAUGUGUGUGUGUGUGUGUGUUCUGCAGCCAUUUAAAUUUGACAGUUUGCCUCCUUUUCAUAUCAAUACAGGUUGUAGAGAAGCUUGUUGACAUAGUAACCUUCAUACAUCAAGACAUCUUGGAAGCAUUUGGGGAAAAUGGUACAUAUAUGUGCAUAUUUCUUUUUACUUGUAUAGUCUGGAGGUCCAAUGCAAUUAUAAACUGGCACCACUCGUUGGUUAAAAAAUAUCUUGUAAUUACAAUGUCAUAGAGGGAUCUCUCUUAAGUGAUUGUGCCUUGGUUGGUUUGAAUUAUAUUAUUUUACUUCAUUAUGUAUGGUUUUAUUAAAUUUAGUGCAACUUGGCUCUCAGUCGUUUAUUUUCUUUUGCUAUGAAAGUGGCAGCGGUGACAUCUACCGGAACAAAUACUUGUAAUAAACCUGAAAGACUAGGUGUUGCUGGUCUUGCUCUACAUUAUGCUCACAUAAUCACUCAAAUGGAUAACAUUGUAAGUGCUAGAUAUUCCUUCCGGUUUGAGGUUUCUCAUGGAUGGUUUUGUGUGAUUGAGCUGAUGUAAUGUGUUUGUUUCUACUUAUACAUAAAUAGGCAUGUCGACCUACGUCUCUCCCUCCUAAUAUGAGAGAUGGAUUGUACAAUGGGUUACCUGUCAGUGUCAAGAUGGCUUUGCGUUCAAGGUUACAGGAAUUUGAUGCGAAGGAAGAAGUAUGGACUCUUUUCAAGUUUUUGAUAUUAUUGCUAACUGGAUUUUUUUGGGUUUUGGUUGUUCUUAUAAUGCGUUAUCGUUGUGUAAAAUUUUCAGCUUACGGUUCCCCAAAUUAAAGCUGAAAUGGAGAAGACUCUCCAGUGGCUUGUUCCAGUUGCUGCGGACACUACCAAGUAUGUGCCACUGUCUUUGAUUACUUAGUAAUCAACCAACUCUUAUAUGCUUCUCUACAAAGCAGUAUUUUUGACCUUACCUACUUGGUCUUUUUAAUUUUUAAAAGUUUCAGUUAUUUUACUUGUACUAAUCUGAUUAAAAUUUGACAGAGCUCAUCAAGGUUUUGGUUGGGUUGGAGAGUGGGCAAACACUGGGUCAGUGAACAGUUCUCUGGUGCAUGACUAGUAUCUUUAUGUAUUAAUGUGAGUACUAAUAUUAUUUUUGUUCCCAUUUGACAGUAUGGAUUUUGGCGGCAAGAAGACUGGGGCCAACAGCACUGUGAUUCGGCUACAGACACUGUAUCACGCAGAUAAGCAAAAGAUGGAUCAAUACAUCCUUGAAUUGGUGGUCUUCCUCCACCGUCUUAUUAGCUCAGUUAGGUACAAAGACAAUGGAUUCAAGGCCUUGCCAGUUCAAUCGCCGAUACGCCAAAGACUAAUAACACAAAUCAGGACGCAAGAACUGCCGUCAUUAAACAGGAAUUGUGAUGUCCAAGAGAAAAAACUUUCUUCCGAGGACAGAAAUUUGUUGGAAGACGUAGCGAAUCAUAGAAAAAUAGUUAUUGGGAGAAGCAAAAGCCAAGGAUUUGCAAUCGGCAGGAAGGGUUCAAUUAAAGUUUGGGCAUUAAGUAGGAGCACCGGCAGUUCUCCGAGAAGAUUCUUGCAGCCCGGGCAUCAAAAGUCGAGCAUUUUGGAUAUAUUGGAUGGUAUGGAUCAGCAUGAGUUAUUUUCAAUCUAAUCAUAUUGCUCAUGCCAUUUAUUCGUUGAAUAGCCUACUUGGUAUCCGGUUGUAUAUAUCAUUAUCUGCAGUGGGGCAUUUAUAGUAUCGUGAAAGAAGAGACAUGGUGGAAAUUUUGAAAAUCAUAUUAGUUAUUGGUAUAUACUGGAAAAGUUCAAGUGAGAAUUUGAUGUUUAUUACAUAUCUUUAUAUUGGUAAAGAAACUGAACUCGAGAUGUUUAAGAAAUCCGAGUCCCUAGCAGUUACAUUUUUGCGGCACCACUGUCAGAUGACAUGCCGUAAAUGUUAAAACAUGUACCGUAACCGGAAUUUGGUUAAUAGAAUCCCAGUUUAACAGGAUUUGAAAGUGCAAGAUUAAAGCUGAUUGAUCAUAGAAUUAAACAGGCAAAAACCUAGCAUGGCCAGUUUAAAGAAAACUAGACGCCCACCGUGGGGCUCGAACCCACGACCACAAGGUUAAGAGCCUUGCGCUCUACCAACUGAGCUAGACGGGCAAUUGGUUCAUAGGUCAAAAACGGAUAAAUAUCCAUUUUUGGUAAUUUUCUUUUAUAAUUAUAGCUAUUAUCAGGAACUAUAGAAAAUAAUUGAAAAUUUGUAAAGCAUUGAUUUAAACACCUGCUUCACAAAUAAGAUAAUGAUCAUUACAGUACCUGUGUUCUAGGAACCUUUAUACGAGAACAGAAAUGAGAAGCUUCGAUUUCUUUAGAUUGUUUCUAGAAACCAUUGAAGGUAUUUUUGGAGGUGCAGUUCAAAAUUUAAUCAUUCUCACAAAAAACCAUCUUAUAGCCGCAGAGAAUUAUUUAAUUAUAUUUUAAAAUCAUAUUAAAUAAUUUUAUAAUCAUACUUGUGUAUAAAAUGUAACUUUAAUAUAAAUUACUAAUCAUAUAGAAAUGCAUAAACAAUGCAAAAUUUACGAUUUAAACAACAAAAUUGAUUUUUGAUUUUCCUUUCCAAAAAGAUUAUUUUGGAAGAAUUUGGUUCUACUAUAGAAUCAGUUUCGAUAUUAUAAUAGAUUUCAACGAUUUUUUGAAAGAAAGUGAUGAAAUUUUAAUUUUUGAUUAAAUAUUUGGUACUCUAUAUCGGUGGUUCUACAUAGAGUGUGACUUAUGAAAAAUGUCGAUAAGACAAAGUAUGGUGGUAGAAAUUAGAUAACAUUUAAUUAUUUUUUUUGACAUUUGUAAAUUUUGAAUUUUAUUCUAAAAAAUUAUUUUUGGUUAGUUUUUUAAUAGUGAAAUGCGCGAAAGUUUCACGUGAAAAGUCAAAUACAGUUUUCUUUUAGAGUAUCGGGACAACUUUUUUGUAAAAGCAUUUUUGGAUUGAAAAAUUGUUGUUCAAACAAGCUAUUUUUAAAUUUAUCAAACAGUUUUUAACCAAAUUUUUAAGAAAUUUUUUUUUGUAAUUAUAAAACUAUCUAAAUGUAUAUUAAUGUUUGUAUGAGAAAUAAUUUUGAUAUAUAUACAAUCUCGUGCGUUAUACGGGCUUCUACACUAAUUAUUAUUUAAAUCUUAUACCUUAAAUUCCCCGAGCUAUGAAUUUUGAAUACCCAAUAAUUGAGUUGAGAGAAGGUAUGCUAAUCAAUGUCGGUUUAAAUUUUAUCUCUAUUUGAACAAUUAUAUAUAUGCGUGUGUGAUGUAAAAAUAUAUAGUAUUAAUAACAAUAAAAUUAUUAAUAUUUUUGUAUUAAUUAAAAUUAAUGACUAACUCUUUAAAAAAUAUGAAAUCAAAUAUAAUAUUUGAGAACUAACAUGUUAACAUUUCUCCUGCCAACCCAAUAUCACUAGCAACCCGGAAAAUAGAAUGCUUCUUCUUCGCGUAAUCAAUUUCUUCUCCAAUCCGAGCACAAAAAUUUUAUGCUCAUCAAUUUUUUUAAAUAAAAAUCACCCUUCCCAAACUUGAUAAAAUUGAAUCGGCACUUGCUUUGCAUGAGACGGCUACACUUUAUACAUCAUGUGGACAAUUGGACAUACAUGGAUAAAGAUCUCAACACAAAAUAAACUUUAACGUAAAACAAACUCAAUCCACAAGCCUUUUCUUUCAUUAAAGCCAAGAAAGCCCCUUCUCAUCUUCAAACACAGAGUAGUCUAUUUCUUGCUACCUAACUGGUGGCCUUUUUACUUCGAGCUCAUUUUUUUCAUUUCGACUGUCUUCAUUUUUGUGAACCAAAAACUCAUCACAGUUGAGAACACUCAUUCCGGACAGGUUGAUGUGGGAUUAUGUAUUAACUCUUUAAAUUUAAUUCUCGUUACAAAAUAUUAUGUAAUUUAAUUCGAUUUGACAAAACCAGGCGUGCUAAACAUAGUACAGUAUUCCAUGUUACUUUAACUCAACAAGUGAUGACUGAUGAGUAGCUUUCAGAUUAACAACACUAAUCAAUUCCAUUCUAUAUUGUAAAGGGUUAGGCACAAUCGCAAAUCCAUAAUCAUUUCAUAUACUUUGCUUCCAAAUUGAGUUUUAAUUUAACAAACAUAGCACCGUGAGAAAAAAUGACCCGCGUUUAUCGAGACACGUAUGCAAAGACAUCCACGUGUAGACGCACUGUUGGACUGUGAUAACAAGGCACUUCACAUAAACUCACCAGCUGUCACAAUUUUAAUUUUGCUUUCAUGUAAAGCAGCACCCACAGUUAUUAAGAAAUUAUUGUAACAAGAUAAGUACCGCUGCAAGCGAAAACCAGAGCCCAAGCCCCCUUCCAUUUUAAGCUCUCCCACUCCCUAGCAAAUUUCGUAACAAUUUACACAAACGGUAUCAAUCAGUGUUCUAAAAAUCGGUAACCUGACAUUUUACGGUACGUCCUUUAUGUUGGAUAACUAUACAUCAGUGUUCUAAAAAUCGCUAGUGGUCGGUUAUCUUCGGAAACUGAUAACCGGAUGGCAAUUUCGGACAUGGUAGCGGGCAGCUUGAAAACGUUGUACUUGGUGGUGAUAGCGGUGAUUAAAAUUUGUGGUUUAUUAAGCGGUCGGAAUUUCGGUGGAGUAUUUGUGCUAGUGAUAUCUACGUUGGUGGUAGGAGGCAUAUUGGUGUUAGCGCUGACGUGGGAUGUUUCUAAAAAAGCAACUUAUGUAUUGACACAAGAUGAUAGAGAUAAGGAGGCGCAUGAUGAUCAUGUAUGCCGAGGUGGCAUUUGCUGGCACGGCGUCGCUGUUAAGUCACCGGCGUCUCAGCUCCGGUUUAGACUUGGGCAACGACAACAUCAUUAAAGGCAUGGUAACAAUCCUGGUGUGUGAAUAAAGAUUAGAGUUUUUUUUUUUUGUUUUUUUAUUUGAGAUUUUGAGACUAGAUGUUAUAAGAACUUAAGUAUCUUACUUUUGUUCUUCUUACGGUUUGAAUUAAUCAUCCGUCAUUACUAUUUACUGCUUUCUCCCGUUUGUUCAUACAGAACACAUAUUCUAAUUUGAGCAUUGCAAAAGUUUUCUUCUUAUGUUUUUCGAUUAUAAAAGCGAAAAUUGAAUUAUAAGGCCCUAAACUAUUGUUAACAUUUAUUAUCUAACUACAUGAAUUAAAAAUUCUGUUUUCUGAAUCGUUUAACCCCCUCCCCCCUCCCCUCCCCUUUAAUCUAAAUUCUUUCGUAAAAAAAUCCUAACCGUGUUAUAAUUAGAAAACUAGGAUUCUAACUUCAAGUAAUUUGAAAGUGAUAACGAAAUCCAAACUUAAUAUUUAAAAUUAUUUAAAGUAAAUAUGAAAUUCUAUCAAAUUAGAAGAGUUCUUCUUCUUAUUUUUUAUUUUUUUGAAAAAGAAAGAGUUCUUGAUAGUGAAAAGCAGUCUAAUUAGAUGAGUUAUAAUCAGAAAAAUGAAAAGAAAUGUAUUAAUUAUAUUAGAGUAGUGCUAGGUGCACAUAAUUGUGUACAGAAAAUUUGUACAUAAUGAUGUGGCAGGUGAUGUGGUGGGUUUUAAUUGGGGUGGUUGGUGUAAAUGCAGGGGGCCAUCCAAUUAGAAUCCACCACAUAUCAUUAUGUACAUGUUUUUGUACACAAUUAUGUGCACCAAGCAUUUUCCAUUAUAUUAUUAUGUUAGUUAACUCAUUGCAUGUGAUUAAUAUAUUUUAGUUAAAAUUUAAUAAAACAAAAGUUGAAGAACAAAUAUUGUGGAUCUAAAAUUUAGAACAACCUAUAAUUAAUCACAAAGUUAAAAUUCGGCCGCAGCAACAACUUUAUUUUGGUUUUUUUAGCGUGUGCCCAUGGCACACACUAACAACUACUCCCUCUCUUCUUUUUUUUAACAGUCCACUCUACUCAAAUCCCAUAUAUUAAGAAAUAUUAAUUAAAAAUCAACAUAGUUUUGUAAAUCAUGAAACUUGUAUAGGCUUAUAGUAAUAAUGUCAACAUUGAAAUUUGUAUAAAAUUUGUAUCGAACAAAGAAGAAUGACAAAUAAUAUGAGAAAUUUUUUCUUGGCAAAGUGGACUAUUAAAAUGAGAAGGAGGGAGUACUUUUUACAUAGGUGGAAGAUUUUGAUUGGUGGAGAUUUUUGUCCAUGAAGGGAGCCAUUUUUAUCAACGGUUUUUCUAGUGUGUGCCCAUGGGCACAUGCUAAGCGCGGAGUUUUAUAAAUUUGGGAGGUUUUGAUUGACUUUUGCAUCUUAAUAAUAGUGAACCACCUGCAAAUGCAACAAUCACCCCAAUCAAACUUCCCAAACUUAUAAAAUUCCGCGCUUAGCAUGUCCCCAUUGGCACACACUAGACAAACCCUUUUAUUAAUGGAUGGGAGCCCAUCAAUAUUCACUAACUAGUUAAAAGGUGGUUGUUAGUGUGUGACAGAAUAUCGGUUUUGUUUUAAUCCAUCAGUAUUUUAGAGAGACUUAUUAUACAACUAACUGAAUUAUGAUUCAGUAAUUUUUGCUAUAAAUCCUCAAGACGUACGUAUCUGAAAAGAAGGGGAGACUUUCAUUGUAAUUUGGAUCAAAUACAGUCUCUCUUAGGUACUAUAUCAGCCGUUAGAUGACAUUAACAUCAACAGAACCCUACUGCAGAUCAAGCACUUCUCUAUGGCCGACUCUCAGCAGCCAGCGCCUCGACGCUCCCGCACCAGAGACAUGCAUGUCGAAUAUUGGUGUCAUCAGUGCAACAGACGAGUCAACGGCGAAACUCUCGACGAUAAUCAAGUCGUGUGCAGCCGCUGCCACGACGGUUUCCUCGUCUCCAUCGCGCCCUCUCCGUCGGCUAGCUUGGAAGACAUGCUGCAGCAGGUCAUGCAAGAGCUCCACAUUCAGAACAACGAAGGGCUCAUGAGAAGGGCUCGAGAGAUUUAUCGAGAGAGGGUUCAGAGUUCGGGAGCGGGGCGUGUGGGGAACUAUGGGGAUUACGCGGAUGAGGCUGAGUAUGAGGCGAUUUUGCUUGGUUUGGCGGAGAGUGAUGAUGGGGCGGAUAGGGGAGCACCGCCUGCUGCGGAAUCAGCUGUGGCGGCGCUGAAGAGUGUGGAGAUUGGAGCCGAGGAGGAAGGUGGGGUGUGUGUUGUGUGCAAAGAUAUGCUAAGUGUGGGCGAGACUGCGAGGGAAUUGCCUUGUGGGCAUGCUUAUCAUGGGGAUUGUAUAGUGGCUUGGUUGGCGACGAGGAAUAUGUGUCCGGUGUGUAGGUUUGAGUUGCCCACUAGUGAUCCGGAUUAUGAAGAGGAGAGGAUUAGGAAAGUUUCAGGUGCUGCUGGAGGAUCCCCGAAAGCCAGUAACUCUUUGCCUGAUGAGUAGGUAACUAUUAAAUUGAGCUAGAAUAGUUUUAUGUAAGGAUUAUCCGAGUUCUUUAUAAUUAUUUCUGAACUAAUAGUCAAAUCAUAUAUAUGUUACGUUCUAUAUAGUUUCUAGUUUGGUUUUGCUCAAGGUUCAAUUUCUUGUAGAUAUUAGUACAUUUUUGUUGUAUGCUAAGGAUGCUUGGUUUAUUCUGUUGCUUGCUGGAAAGCUGAUUAAUUUGGUUAGUUAGGUUGUUAUAUAACAAAAGGAAAUUAUUUUGUUUUCUAAGGAAGACGUGCAUGUAUUGAUGUUUGAAAUGUCAUUUUACCAGUUGUGCAUUCGAGUCCAGGCAAUUUAUCAGUUCAUCCAAAGAAAAGACUAAUGGGCAUAUCUUCUUCCUUCAUAAGAACCUCUGUCACGACAACUCUUAAUUAGAAGUAUGUAGUUGUUGUACGAGCACAUGAUAACCAUGGAAUCUUGCACCUCCAUGACUUCAAUUGUUAGUGAGCAGUAAUGGCACCUAUAUACGACUGCUCUUAUAUGCUACUUGAUGAAUGUGAUAAGUACUUUCGUUACAGCAGAACUUUCUGAACCAUGGAUUGGAAUCCUUUCUGUCUUUCCCAUAGUCUUGUCUAGGAAUUUGCAUGAUUUUAAUAAUAGAUAGGGUGCCUCCCUUAAGCUUUUCAGGAUCUGGAAAGUAUUCUAACUGGAGACUUCUUAGGAGUUGAGCAAACCACUUUGAUAUCCCGCCAAGGAGUAUCUCACUUUAACAUCUAAUUUUCAUUAAUGUGCCAGGGAAAGCCUGUUAUUCCGAUCUCUAUGUAGACCAUGUAGGUAAGCCAAGCUACUCUGACAUCCCUCCGAGGAAUAUCCUCCUUAGAGCAAUAAAUUGUCUUUUAUGUGCAAGGGCAACACCCGUAGUCAAACAUGUAGAAGAUCCUCUACAUGUUCCUAGGAUGAUCCUCACUCCUUUGUGUUGUCAAACAUGUAGAAGAUUGUUGACUUUAUAACCAAAUACAUGGAUUGAAGUGCUUUCACUUAAACCUUGAAUCCACAGGAGAAGAUAAAGAGAAAUUUUUUUAGGGGAAAAUAGUCAAGUACAACCAGCGCCAAAGAACAACUCAUUUUAGCAUUUAUGUUGUGUUUGGUCGGGGAGAAUGGAAUGAGUAAAAAUUCUUGAAACUAAUAGAGAUAGGAAGAAAGUUUUGAAAAAAAUUUGAGGGAGUGCAAAAUUGCUAUGAUGAGAUUUGAGAAGAAAUUGAGGAUAGGGGAGAAUAGUGAGAUCCAUCUCAAAUUGAAGGUGUGAUAUCUAGCAUAUGAUGCAUGGAAUGGAAUGGAGGAAAGAAUGAAAUUUCAUAAAAAUUAUCCAUAAGAUAGUUCAUUUUUCAUUUUAUUCCUUCCGGAAUCAUUCACAUCAACCAAACACAACAUUAGUUGUUGUAAUGAGCAGGGAACAUAACUCUGUCAAAUAGAGAGUAAUUAGGAGGAAGGUCUUCUAGUUAUGAUCACCGCAUGAUUUCCAAGAGAGCAUUUAUAAGCCAGUAUGCUUCUCUCAUGCCUUUCUUUGUUCAUGGUUCGAUAUGUUCACUACUCUUUAUGAUAUAACAUGAUCGUUUGGCUAACCUUAUUUUUCAGAAAUAAGGACUUAUUUUUGGAGAAAAGUACAUACGAUUCUACCUUUUUCUUAAAUAAGCCCUUAUUGUUUUGCUAAGUAACGAAUAUAAAACACCUAUUUAACAUAUAUAUCCAAAAUUUUUUUAGCAAAAACAUAUUUUUGUCAAAAAAUAAGCGCUUAAUUUUUGGAAGUGAAAUUGCCUAAACAGGCCCAAUUGUUUCUUUGUUUUCCAGUUAGCCAAGUGAAUAUUUGUUGCAUCAAGAACUUAUAUUUAUGGUUGUUGGGGUUGUUUAUACUUAAAAUGAGUAAGGAUGUGAUAAUCGUUUGUUUCAUCUUGUUCGUGAAGACCAGAAUCAGAAGUGGAUUGCAAGUUGUCCUGAUUUAUCUUUAUUCAAAAUACUUUUGGGUCUGCUCUCCUCUCAUCAAUGUUUUCACAACAUGGUCUGCAUCUCGUCAGCCGCCUCAACUUGUUCCCACCAUCAACUCGGCAUUUGAAAGCUGCUCUGAUGAGUUCAUCCCAGUUGAAUCACGACGAUUAUGAUACUGGAGUAAAGAGCGAAGAAACAGAUGAGAGUUAUGAACAUCAAGAUGAUGAUAAUGGAGAUGCUCAUGGUACUUGUAGUCUGGUGCACCCUGGUAUACUCCUCAUCAGUACCACAGAAUUAGAUACUGCAGGGAAUAUUAAAGGAACUCGAACAUGAUUCACAAAUUUAAGUGAGAAGAGAUGCACAGCCAGCAGCAGAAUCAGCCUUGGUUGCACUGAAAAAAUACAAAGACUGAAUACGAGAAAGAAGUUCUGAUUUGUCCUGUAUGUCUGUUUUAACCAAAAUUUGCAGGAUUAAAAACCAAACUUAUUUAAUUGUUAAAAAUACGGAGUAUGUGUUUUGAUGUAUGAACAUUUAGAAGAUCGAAUAAAUGAAUACUGAAAAGAAAAUAAAAGACAAGAACACAAAAAACUUUGAUAAAGCGGAAAACCUCUUAAAAAAGAUUAAAAACGCGGGUGGGGGGUGGAAAUGUCUCAAACGAAAACCUCCUAGAAAAAAGUUAAAACCGCAGGUGGAAAUGUCCCAGCCAAAUAUCCACUAUAAUGUUGAAGUAAAACAAUGUCAAGAUGAGCUCAGUUGGGGAGAGAGUGCCAAAUUACCUUGUGGGCAUUGUUACCAUGCAAAUUGUAUUGUCACUUGGUUGGCUCCAGGAUCUCCAGGAUAUUCCAACAGAUAUUCGUCUUCUUAUAGAAUUCUCAACAUGUAACAGAAGCUGAAAAGAAUACUCAUAAUGCAAUCAUAUUCAUCAAGACAUAUAUACAACAGGAACAAAAAUGCUAGCAACUUUCUGUGAUAUAGGAAGGACAUACAUUACAGCUAAUUGUAUCAUGUUGUGCACUGUAGCAACGUCCACCAAACAAGAACACAAAACAAGAAAUAUAUCAAUUUUCAGUUAUAAACAUAAUCUCUAUCUAUGUAGCAAGUAACCUCAUAAAGUACACAUCAUCUAUAAUUUCUCAGUCUUUAUUCAGUUACACUGUUUCACAGCUUCUGCCCCGUUCCAACUAAAUUCAGUUUGCUCACCCCCGAUCUUUGGAUCUAUGGCUACGCAAGCACUAGCCUAUUUCAUCUGUUCCCUAAACUCUGUAGUAGUGCGGGUGUCGAGAUAUAUAACCUUAUUUCCAUGGUGGCUGAUGAUGUUUGUAGUUGAAUGGGUAGAGAUCCCAGCCGCCAUCUGUUUCUUUACGUUUUCCACCAACACCAGAACUAGAAGUGGAUUGUGAGUUGGCCCUCAUUUGUUCAUCUAUCAAUAUUCCGUGACCAGGGUUAAAUAGCUGCCUCGUACUCGCGUCUCUGUUUCCCCUAUCCAUCAUUAAUCCAGAGUUCAGAUCUGGACCAUUUCUGGAAGGGACAAACCCAUUAUAUUCGGAGGGUGCACUAGCCAAGCUCAUAAAGAAAGAUGGCUGCGACAUGGAAGGAUGAAGAGCUGGCACAGAUCCUAGAACCUGAGGUACAACAGGGGAUCCUCUUGAAUCCAUCAUGUAAGGGAAUUGACUGCCAAGGCCAUACAUGGGUGAUGAAAAUGGUACACCAGACCCCGAUGAACGGCCAUUGUACCCAUACGUGGAAGAAUGUGCAUAUUGCGUAGAUGAUCCCAACCCCAAAUAACUGUCAUUGCUUGGCAUACUUCCAUCUAGUGCAUGUUUCACAAAUCUGCUGUUUGACAAGGGACCUGUUUGAGGAACAAUUUCGUUCUGAUUGACCUCCACCCUGGCACCCAUGAGGGAAAUAACAGACUUAUCUGGUUUAACCCCUCCAGAUCCAGAAGUACAAAAAUCUGAAGAUGACCUGCCCACUGAAGCAGGAUCCAAAUAUGGAGUAAAAAGAGAUGGUUGAUCAUUCAAAUCAAAGUUUUUCAAUGAAGGUUGCAUUGACGACGAUGAUGAGGAAGGAGAUUGACUGAAUUGACCAUGCCAAAGUGGAAGAAGCCGUGUCUCCUUCUUCCAGUUGGAUAUUGGAACAUCACUUCCGUCACCAACACGGUUUAGAUCCAGGUGCGACAAGUCAGAUUUUUUUGGACUAGUUUCCAAGGAACAUUUUUCAGAAGGACAACCAGUUGAAUUUUGGAUAUCUUUAUUUGGCGUCAACUCUGAAAUCUUAUCAUCUUCAUCCUCCGCAACAUUCAGAUCAAAGUCGAGGAAUUGCUGCCGCUGAAACAAGUUGCUACUACUCCCUGAUGCGAGGAUAAAAUUCUCUCCACCACUUACUUUGCGUGUUGGAGCAGGACGAAAAGCACUAGUUUCAGCGGAUCCUUUCCACCCAAGUGUCCCCUCAAACUGCAAAGGAGAAAGAGGCAAGCCAGAAGCCGCUGCAGCCCUUGAAGCAGAAACAACAGAGAUGGGAGCACUGACUGGGCUGAUUUCAUUAUCAUCAGAUAACAUUUCUUCAUUAAGAUCAAAACCACAUACACGUUUAUCUUUGACAGGUUCCGUUGUCUGAUCCACCUCAGUAGCCCCAGAGGGCUCAGCAUCAACUGUGCAAUUUUCCUGUUCACUAGCUUGGUUUUUGGCCUUAACAAAAGCCUCAUCUCGUACAACAGCAGAAAGAUGUGUUCCAACUGACACAUCUUUAUAAGAGUUAUGCACUCUAGAAUUUUUACCAUGUAUAGAAUCCGGGCUCUCUGCCAGCCUCAUUCUACCACCAGAUGUUCUCUCAGAAGAACUACAACUUGGUUCUCUACAGUCCACUUCUCUCUCCACCUCCAUGGCGACUUGUCGAGCAACCUCUAAUGGGUCAAACAUGCUAUACUCAAGUUCAAAAUCAGACUUCUUGUCAACAGAAUCUUUCACAUUGACUCCUGACAUGGAAAAUCCAUAAUCAUUUCCCAAAUCAACCUCAUCUUCAUCAGUAUCACUUUGAUCAUUUGAUUCUUCAAUUGCCUCAGUGUCCUCUUUCCCUGNNNNNNNNNNNNNNNNNNNNNNNNNNNNNNNNNNNNNNNNNNNNNNNNNNNNNNNNNNNNNNNNNNNNNNNNNNNNNNNNNNNNNNNNNNNNNNNNNNNNNNNNNNNNNNNNNNNNNNNNNNNNNNNNNNNNNNNNNNNNNNNNNNNNNNNNNNNNNNNNNNNNNNNNNNNNNNNNNNNNNNNNNNNNNNNNNNNNNNNNNNNNNNNNNNNNNNNNNNNNNNNNNNNNNNNNNNNNNNNNNNNNNNNNNNNNNNNNNNNNNNNNNNNNNNNNNNNNNNNNNNNNNNNNNNNNNNNNNNNNNNNNNNNNNNNNNNNNNNNNNNNNNNNNNNNNNNNNNNNNNNNNNNNNNNNNNNNNNNNNNNNNNNNNNNNNNNNNNNNNNNNNNNNNNNNNNNNNNNNNNNNNNNNNNNNNNNNNNNNNNNNNNNNNNNNNNNNNNNNNNNNNNNNNNNNNNNNNNNNNNNNNNNNNNNNNNNNNNNNNNNNNNNNNNNNNNNNNNNNNNNNNNNNNNNNNNNNNNNNNNNNNNNNNNNNNNNNNNNNNNNNNNNNNNNNNNNNNNNNNNNNNNNNNNNNNNNNNNNNNNNNNNNNNNNNNNNNNNNNNNNNNNNNNNNNNNNNNNNNNNNNNNNNNNNNNNNNNNNNNNNNNNNNNNNNNNNNNNNNNNNNNNNNNNNNNNNNNNNNNNNNNNNNNNNNNNNNNNNNNNNNNNNAUAACUUUGAUCAUUUGAUUCUUCAAAUGCCUCAGUGUCCUCUUUCCCUGACAAAUUAGUAGUUAGAUCCUCAUUCUUUCCAAGAUCGUGUUUACUAAAACUAGAAUCUUGCAAAACGUCAACCGGAGCUGUACUGUUAGACACUGAUAGUUUACUGCAAGGAUAUGAAGACCUACUAUCCCCCAUUUCACCUUUCCCCUCGGACACCUGUUUUCUAGCAUCGCCAUAAGAAAAUAAUUUUGGAGAAGGGUCUUCUUUUUUGGCAUCAAAAUCUUUCUCCAUGUUGGCACCUACUUUAGACUCCACAGUAUUUGAGGAAUCAGCGCCGAAGGAAGAGUCUGUUGCACCUAACUUGUCACAGCUUUUGAUCUGUGGCAACUGUUUUGCAUCAUUAUCCUCGUUUGGGUUGGCAACAUCUAGAUGUCUCUCCAGUGUUCUUUGCUCAGGAACGGCAGAUCCAGAACUUUCGAUUCCUGUUGAAUCUGAUAUAUGUGUUGCGGGGUUUUCCAAAACAGAACUGAUCCCACUGAUAAGCUUCGAUGUAUCAGUGGAGUGCCCAGGAUCUGGGGAGGCAUGGUUUGAACUUUUAUCUAAUGGUUGGACAGUUGACUCCACAAUUCCAUCAGGGUGCACAGCUUCUGGACAUAUUUCUGGUUUCACUUCAUCUACAGAUGGUUCUGCAUUUUUUUCUUCACUAUUAUUACCUCCAGAGUUAGAUAUAUUUAGUGAAGAACAUUCUGGCUGUUCACGUUUACUAUCAGGAUUUUCAUUUACAUCCUCAAGGUCAUGAUGAUCAUCACAUACCUUCUCAUCUAUCUCAGCAUCAUCGGGAACCACAUUACUCUCGUCAUUCUGCUUCCAGCUAUCAAGCAAAGCUUUGGCUUUAUCGUGAACUAUAGAGCUUUUGUUGGUGAGAAGAUCUUUAACUGUGUUCAUGAUGCCAGAAGUAACUGACUUCUGCUCGUCUAUAUGCAGCUUCCCAGUUGCUACUAACAAUGUAGCAAGUAAUUCUUCGACAAAGCUAUCACCUGUUUCUUUAUAAUACUUCUGCCCAUCUUUAAGCCAAGUAUCAAAAUAACAGAGUCCGUCUAACUGGAUAAAGAGAGCAAGACAAUCCUUACUAUCAGUAGUUGCUAUAGUUCUUGCAACAGUAUACCACUGUCUACUUGCAUCACCGACAUUCUUCACUAUAUUGUGUUUGUCCUUUUGCAUUACAUUUAUCAGCUCCUUCAUUCGAGCAGGAGCUGACAACCCAUUUUUCAUCUCGGUCAAUGUAAAAAAGUCCUCGAGAGUCAUAUUUUGCAUAGCAAAUCUACCGAGAAUUCAUGUACAAGGCUAGCUUAGUUUCUUUCCUGCAAAAGACACAGAGAGCAGAUGAAUUGUAUGAUUUAACAGCUCAAUACUCUGCAAAGAUCACACUGAAUUAGUCUACAAUAUUGUUGUAGGAGACUAGGAGCAACAGUGUCAUCAAGGUUGCGCACAAGAAGAAUAUAAGUAUAAACAUCCCGAAAUUCAGACAUGCUACAUUCUAGUUAGGAAAAUGAAUGACUCUCUAUGUUGGACCACUUAGCCAUUUGGGUGGAAGAAGUCCUCCACUUCAGGCCAAUCGAAAAAUGGACAGAGAAAAGAUUGAUUGAUAAUGUUUGUUUGUCCACUUGGCCAUUUAGGUGGAAGAACUUUCCGACUUCAGGCACAUCAAAAAUUGAACAGUGAAGAGAUUAAUUAUUACUGUAUGCAUAGCUGCAUAAAGUUUCUGAUAAUAUAGAUAUUAUGACAUAUAUUUGAUGUUUCUACUAUGACUUAACUCGAGAGGGAUACAUUUCUUAAUGAUGAAUAUGACUCCUAGCAUCCAAGUAGAUUCCAGAGUUAAAUUUGUAGCUCACGUGCUACUUUCAGCUUGUCAUUAAAACCAAUAUAUAUACUGCACAUACUCUAUGCAAUACCACCUUCUCUUUUCUCGACCAACAUGUCUCAUGAGAGAAGAAAACAGCCGAGUAAUUUCAUAAUCAUUGCAGGUUUGGAGAAAACUCCAGAAUAUAAUAAUGAUUAGUGACAAGGUCAACGACGGGAAAAAAUAAAUUCAAUUAGUUGUACUAGUGAACAAAAUGUACAUCAUACACAAGAUAUUAUUACUCCUGCCUUCCAAACGCAUCAAAUGUCUACAAGAAGUAUAAUUAUGAUAUUCGAUCAGCUAAAUAAUUAUAGGUUCAAUCCAUUUUAUAAGUAGGUCAGUAUCACAUGCAAGUCAUGUAAGAACAUGAGAUCUGCUUAUUUCGCUGUUGUUUCCGAAAUCACGUCACUAAAUAUCGAGACAAAUAUGAGACUACAUCCAAAUAUCUAUACAAGUCCAAUAGAAGCUUGGUUGUGUAUAAAGCCGACAAUACACAUACAAUCUAAAGACAGAAAGCAAAAAUUUAAUCGUAUGCAAAGUGUGCAAUAAUACAAUCUAGUUCAAUACUAAUAAUGCUUUAGCAACAAGACAUUGUGUUGCCAGUAGUAAGAGAAAAUGAAGAUGAUAUUUUAACUUCAUCUAUAAGCACACAUGAAACAUGAUUUAUACUUUAGGAGUACUAAGGCAUAGAUCCAGAUAUUAUGAUGAUACUCAAGAAAAUGAAUAUGUCCAACUAGCUCUAAGUAAGGUGCUUUCUAUUCAGAAUUGGUAAUCCAGGAUAGUAACAGGAUCCCAUAAACUCAAGGACUAAGAUCUGACAAUAUUUUCCACCAUGCUAAUGGAAACAAAACUGCAAAGGUUUGCUGAAGUUCACAGAUAAAAAUAUGCCAACUAAAACGUAAUUUGUAAACACUGUCAUUUAAAACGAGAGUCUGGUGUCCGAGUCACCUCACCUCAGGCAAGCAAGGCGAGGUUUGGGAACCUGGCCACACCUCUUGCCUAAGCUUUAACAAUACUGCACAUAAAUAUGUCCUCAAGACUAUAAAAGAACCGAAUCGAUGAUGCAAAGCAUUUAGUUAUAAACUAAAACAGAGGAAUACAACCAAAACAAAAAACUACAAAAUUGCAUUGAUAAGCGUCAACCAUGACCUAAAAAUUGUUUUUGAUAGUAAAUUACCAAUUGUUUAAUGUCCCCUCGCCAGAACAAUCUUAACUGCAGUCUUUCCGGCAAGGAAAAGGUCAAAUCCUGAAAACAACAAAAAUUCAAAUCACAAAUAGCAACACAAAAACUCUCUAGAAUCUAAACAACACUGCACAUCAACCAAAUUAUAAAUCCCAAAAUAGUCUAAUUCAAAAAAACCCAAAAAGGGAGAUUGCUAUAAGCUCAUCAACCAAUCAAAUUCAACACCGCCAAAGAGCUAAGAAUCAAUAAAAUAUCAAAAAACCAUAACCCCAAAACUCAAAUUGAAAGAAAACAAAUCCAAAUCAGGAGCUCAUCAGCUACAAUUGACCAAAAUGUGAAAAAAAAAUCAAGAAAACACAAAAUCAAGAUAAGAUACACAGAAUUACAUGAAAAAGAUGCAGCAAGAUUGAAACUUUAAGGAUUUAAUAGUAGCCCAAUAAAGAAAAGAGAGAAAUUGAGGUGUAAUUUAGUACCUGUCUGGGAAGAAAUAAAACCCUAAGUGAAGCUUAACGGAAAAGAGAGUAGCAUUAAACCCAACAGCUGUCUUUAGUUUUGACAAAACUAAAAGUAACCCCUUUUCUUAAUCUAUACCAUAAUUACUGUUUGGUCUCUCUGUUUGUAUAAAACAUAUGUAUACAUAGGAACUACUUGUGUUUCUUCUGUGUGUGAAUCUAACAGCAAAAUUUGGUCUCUGCUUUUACAGAAGCUCUUCUAUGUAUGAGAAAUGGUAAUACUUUUUACUUAUAUCUUCCCAGCCUGUUCUUUUCUUAUUUAAUUUUUAAUUUAUUACUAUAUUAAUCAUUUUCUUCUCUUUUGCUUAUGGUCAGUUGUUGUCUUGUUCAUUGUGCAUAUGCACGUGCCAUAUCGAUAGUCUUUCCUAGCAUCAGAUGAUAUACCAAUUUUGAUUUGACCGAGAUAAAAUGACAAAUUUUGACUAAUAAAUAUAUAUUAUAUUUAUCAUAAAAUUUUAAAAAUAAUAUAAUGAAAAAUUAUAUUAUAUCCAUUUUAAAAUAUAUAUUUCAAUUUUUAAUAAUCAUAAUAAAAUAAUUUUUUAUUUAUAAUAAUAAAUUGAUCAAAUUGACUUUUGAAAAAUUAAAUGAAAUUGUUAUUUUGAAAUUUUAAAAUGAAGAGAAUACUUUACUUUAAUAAAACUCCUGAAUUUAAUGUUAUAUUUUAAUAACUAUUGGGUCAUGGACUCAAGAUUUUGCAAUGGGAACUAGGGCUGUAAUUCGAGUCGAGCCGAACCCAACUUUAAUCGAGUCGAGCUAAACUGGCUCAUUUAAUUAAACAAGCUGGAACUUUUACCGGAAUUCGGCUCGUUUAACGAGUCGAGUCGAGCCAAGCCCAGUUAAACGAGCUCAACCCGGGCGAGCUCGCGAACAACCCGACUCGAAUUACAACUCUAGUGGGAACUAAAUAUUUAGCAUAUGAAAUUUUGGUAGUAAAUUCGUAAAUAUAAAAACUAUUUUUCUUCAUACUUUUCUUCAAGAAUAUACUUUGUAAAGCUUAGUAUCAUGUUAAAUAAAUCGAAAAUUAAUAUGUUUUCUUGUUGAGAUUUAAUUAUUCAGUAAUAACGUUAUGCGACUCAAAUUAGUCAACAUUCUUAAACAUAGAACAAGUAUGCUUUCACCGGUUCAAAAUUAUAUUUUUAGAAAAUAUGCAGUUAAAUUACUCCAAUUAUAAUAUAAAAAAAAUACUUUAUUAUUCUAAGAAACUUCCGUACACAAGAUGCUUUGGAUAUCCUGUCCAUCAGCCGGAAAGGUACGACAGAAUCUUGAAAUACAAAACAUAGAAGAAUACAGCUAAGAAGGCUAAAAUAGGGUGUAAUGUGUAGGUAAUUACAAGAACACUGCUGAUUAUUCUUCCUUAACUUGCACUCACAUGAGAUUAGAAAACAGUAAACACAUAUAUUCUGUAAGACUGUCAUUUAUAGUAAAGCGGACAAAGAAGUGACUACUGACUGGUAAUAAAAGCAAGGAUGGAGUGUAGCUAGGAGUACUAGUAGUAAUUUUAUCAGAGUUCAUGAAUCCAAAGAGAAGAUUUAAGUGUACGGAUGACCACUGUUUGGACAGUUUAUGGUACAUGCUAUAUAUAGCUACAUCUGACUUCUGAAGUCUGAACUGCUAUCACAAGAUUUAUCAGCUCCAAAUUACUAUACUAAAAAUUUAAAGUUUGUUUUGGGCUUUGUUUAUUUUUGAACUAAAGAAGGCCCAAAUCUUGAAGUUUAUAGAAGGAAGCCCACUACCUUCUACUUCUACACAGAAGCUCACUGAGCCCACAUGUAGAUCAUGACCAAUGCAUAACAUUAUUCAAUCUUGAAACAGAAGUCUACCUGUCAAUAUUACAAAAGGACAUUCUGUUCAUUCACAAGGUUUUACAUUUCCUGGUGUACAGGAACUUCACUCUGAAAGAAACAAAGCUAGCAUAAAAAAUAAUCUUGAAUGAAUUUAUCUAUGCAACUGAUAAACUCGGGUUGAAAGAUAUCCGCACAAUUCUUGAAAGGGGACAAGCAGGCAGCAAGAAGUAGAAUAAAGGUCUAGGGAAUACAUGACUAUUGAGUCUUUAAGAUGAAGUUCUCCACUGCAGCUCAAUCUGUACUGUACCAUUCUUUGAAUCAAUAAGGUGGUACCUCUCGUUGAUUCUCUUGUUGCUGAUCACAUCUGCAAGGGAUAUAUCCACAUAUCCCAGAGUAUCCUACCACCAUAAAAUAAAAAAAAUUAUGACUAGAUAGUCGGCAGUUCUGUACCAGCAUUUGUAGCAUCUUAAAUUUAAUACAUGUCCAAUUAUACUAUGUAAUAAUUGCAUGAUGAAAGCUAAUACUGUUAGGGAACAGAAAGGCCGGUGAAUUAAUUCCAUUAGCAUUAUGUGAUUGUAAUAACUACUCUAGAUAGUUUAAAAUUCUGAUUCCUAAUAUGAAUAAGGAGUGCUAUCUGAAUUUGAUUACACAAGUUUUACUGAUAAUCCAGAAUAACUAUGAUAAUUUUAUAAAUCUUGUGUUUACCUUGGGAUAUAAAAGUCCCAUUCUUUUCGAAGUACUGACAACUUCUACAUGUAUCCUGUCAUUAGUAGGCGGCUCCUCCAGCAUGAAUUGAAACUCCUCAUCCCACCUUGGAUCUCUGUUUUUCUUUACAACCUAAAUAAUACCAAAACAUAAUCAAAAUUAUAUAAGUGUAAAGCUCAGUAGGAACAUGCUACUAGGUACUUCUGCAAAGACUAUGGAUAUUCUAAAUUAGAAUGGAUGAGGCACAUGACAAGCUGUUUUGAGAGUCGACUCCCGUAGCUAGGAAUCUAGCUGCCACUUCUCCACUUUUCAGAUCUUCAUCCCUCUUACUGGUUAAUCUCCCUCCGUUUUCCCAUCCUCUCUUUACCAGUUUUUCAAUAAAACCGAGAUCCAAUCUUUUUUGAAUGAGAUCUUGUUGAGUACCUUGUUAUUAAGGUUGGUAGUCAUGCCCUUCCUUUUGGGAUGUUAAUAUGUUAUGUUUUGAUACUUUUGUGUGUCUUGGUACAGGUACAAUAGUUCUUCAGAGAAAGAUUUAUAUGAUAUUUUGGGAGAUAUAUAAGACUCGUAUCGAUUCUAGGACGGUGGAUACCACAGAAUCUCACCUUUCACAAUAGAUUUUUUCUUCAUAUUUUGGGGGCAUUUGUUGCUCCAAUAUUAGUUGAUGUAACUGAUAAACAUUGGGCUACAGAUGACGUUCAUGUGAAGGUCUAUUGCGAUGCUACUAGUUUCACAGCUGAUGUAGGUUGGAUUGCUCGAGAAGUCAUUGUAAUACUUUUUAGAUCAAAAAAUUUGGAUAUUUUAUGUGUUAAUUAAGCGAUCUAAAAACAAAACAACAAUUUGUUUAGCUCGUUCUUUGUUUCACAAUCAAUCAGGUUGUAGUUGACAGUUCGGCAGUUUGUCCUGGCAGGGAUCCGAUGCUUGUUUUAUCUUUAAUAAAACCAUUUGUUUGUCAAAAUGAAAUAAAAUGGAUGAGGCACAAGGUUAACAUUGUAGUCCACAUCCGAAAAUAUUUCAAAGCUAUUGGAUUUAAAAAUUACCUUUGUUCUCCUUUCUUCACCUCUGAACAAUAACCGCACAGAUGGAUUUGUGUGGUGUUUUCCUUCAAGAUCUUGACCUUCAUGGACGAUAACUACAAGCAGCCCACCUCCAUCAGGAGUUCCUUCAGGAGCCUUUUGAACCUCAGAAUCUUCAGCAUCAUCUGGUUUCUCAUCAUCACUAAACGGUCUGUACAUUGCUUCAACAACAAGCUGACCUCGUGAUUUUUCAUUUUGAGAGUCGUUGGGGUCCAAGUUUUUUAACAAAUCAAGAGUCAGAGCUUUUGUCUCUUCAGGUGUAAGGUCUUUCACAUGUACCACAUUCAUACCCAUCUUUUCGUGCUUUCCAACCUAAGUACAGCAAUGAUGAGUGAGUAAAACCAUACUUGUGUAACUCAGAUAGAUAUAUUUUGAGUAAUAAUAUGUAAAUAUCUGCCUGAGGAAUUUAUUAUCUUCAUAUAACUUAAAUAAUGAGAAAUACGAACUGUCAUGCACAAAACUUGGCAACUGUAAACCACAUCCCGAAUCCAAGCGUGAGAUCUGGUGGGGGGGGGGGGGGGGGGGGGGGGGGGGGGGGGGGCUCCACUGAAAGCUAAUCAAACACGGUCUUUCAGGGUAACUUAUUUGGGGGGAAAUCAGUAGCAGUUAAAAGACUUUCUAAAAGGUCUGGUCAAGGGAUGGAAGAGUUGAGAAAUGAAACAGUUUUAAUUGCUAAACCCCAACACAGGAAUCUCGUUAGACUCUUGGGAUGUUGUAUUGAACAGGAUGAGAAGAUUCUAAUUUACGAGUACAUGUCCAACAAAAGUUUGGAUCAUUUCAUUUUUGGUUAAGUGGUGAUAAAAUUGUUUGGUUUAUUUCCGUUAUAUUUGUUCUAAUUGGCAUGANNNNNNNNNNNNNNNNNNNNNNNNNNNNNNNNNNNNNNNNNNNNNNNNNNNNNNNNNNNNNNNNNNNNNNNNNNNNNNNNNNNNNNNNNNNNNNNNNNNNNNNNNNNNNNNNNNNNNNNNNNNNNNNNNNNNNNNNNNNNNNNNNNNNNNNNNNNNNNNNNNNNNNNNNNNNNNNNNNNNNNNNNNNNNNNNNNNNNNNNNNNNNNNNNNNNNNNNNNNNNNNNNNNNNNNNNNNNNNNNNNNNNNNNNNNNNNNNNNNNNNNNNNNNNNNNNNNNNNNNNNNNNNNNNNNNNNNNNNNNNNNNNNNNNNNNNNNNNNNNNNNNNNNNNNNNGGAGCAAGGGAGAGAGUACCUGACCUGUUCCCAAUCAUACACAACAAGCUCUAAAGCCUGAGAUUCUGGGUCCUUGACAACCAGAUUAAAUUCUUCGUUCCAUUCAGGGUUUAAGUUCUUUUGUUUCACAGUUGUUUUCUUUGAUGGCAGUUUAUCCUCAGUAAGUUUUAAUUUAACAUAUGGAUCUGAAGCUCCCAAAAGAUCUUUUUUCUUAAGCUUCAUUGCCCUAACAACCUUUACAUUGAGGAUUCCAACAGGUCUCUGCAUGGCCCUGACAUAUGGAAUGAUGUUCAACUAGUUGGCUGGAAAAGCAAUAUUUUGUUAAUCAAACAAAGAAAAACAUUUUUACUUACUUGGCAGGAUCCAUGAUCUGCACUUCAAGUACUUUGGGCCAUAGAUACAUAUUUGCAACCUGAUCCUUGAUGAUUUCCUAGACCAAGAUUAUACAAUGAGUCACACUAACAAUCUGGGGAGACUCGGCAAGUAAGAAACAGAAAAUUGAUAUUGACAAGUUCAAGGAGAAUUAUACUUGUACAGUAAAUAUCACGAUAUACUUUGUACAAAGAAGUGUUCCUGAAUUCAGUACAGGGAGCAUGAGCGUGAUAAAGAACCAUAGCAUAAAUGUAAUAUUUGAGCAUAUCUACUCGUGGAAGGGUUGGAACUGGAAAUAAGUAAUUACUGGUAGAUAAAAUUCUCAAACUACGAGUGUAAAGUUGUGAAUGAAUUAAUCAUUUUGGGAUUCUAUAUCACCAUAUCACCAAUCCAUAAUUUUGAUCAUAUUGUAAGGAUUGUGGUCAUUAAAUGGCCUCUAUGCUCCAUACUUAAAAUAGCAAGAUAAUUCCAUGAAACUUAUUGUAAGACUUUUGUCAUCAUAGCAAGAAAAAAACAAGGAGUCAGUAAAUUAUCCGAUCUUUUGUUCUUUCUAUAUUAAACUAGUAACCAGCAGUUCUAAGGACAUAAGAAGAAUUCCAAAGCUAACUAAAUAACAUACCUGGACAAAGCUAUACAGGCCCGGGAUGGACAUAGCAUCUGCUCCGAGCAGCUUCAGACCAAAGUCAACAUGAGGCUGAGGGAUUGAAAAUUAAAGAUAAUGCAUGAGAGACAGGAUAGUUUGUCAAACAUGUGCGGAUCAUAUACAAUGACAAAGCAGAAGUAAUACUGAUUUCUAAUAAGAAAAUCAGCGAACAAGCAACAACUAUAUAUACACGUGCUAUGAAGAAAGGACAUAACAAAAUACUAGUAGGAGGAUCUGUUAAAUCCUAAAAAGGAAUAUUUUACAGAAAGCGUGUUAAGACUUUUUAGGUUGACAUAUACUAGUAAAGGUUAAAUAGUACAUUCCUCACCUUUUCCAUAAGAGACACUAAUAUUUUUGCAAAACAAGGGAAAGAGGGAACCAAUGGCUUCAGGGUGAUACGUGGAGAAGCAAAUACUUGCAAGUCAACCACCUGAAACACUCCUAUGUAAUCAGAAUUCACAAUAAUAUGUGGAAGAAAUGUGAGUGAGUGAGAGAGAGAGAGAGAGAGAGAGAGAGAGAGAGAGAGAGAGAGAGAGAGAGAGAGAGAGAGAGAGAGAGUCAGAGAUUUGAAGCAAGACUUUAUAUAUUAGUGUUUUCCAUACUCUUCCCAGCAAGUAAUUGAGUUCAAUAGAAAUAUAUUGAGACUACCUGAACAGUGGCCUUCAAGCCAAAUGCCUUAGCUACUACAAGGACGUUUGGAUUUCCUGCCCACUUCAGCGUUGGUUCCAUGAUCAAUUCCUUCUCUUCAGUACUAUAAACUUUCAUUCCUGACAUGGAAUGGUAUGGCUUUAAUUAAAGGGGAAUGACAAAAAUAUAGAAUACUUUUAAGGUAUCAAGGAGGGACAGGGGUGAAAAAGAUGAAGCACAUAAUGUAUGCAGUACCGGAAGGACUACUCAUAUACAUACUAUCAGCAGUGACUUGGCCACUUCUACUUGCCUAAACGUCACCAUAUAUACUAUAUAGGCCUGUAAAUUUAUUUAGAAUAGGCAUUUCACUCAAUACAAGGUCAUUAGAUCAUCAGAUAGUCCCUAUUUCUAAGUUUUCUGUCAAAACUGAUGUUCAUUAGUUGUUCAGUGAAGAUAACUAAAGCAUCAUUGUAAAUGAAUAUUAGAUGUACCCAUCUUUUAAACGUAGAAGACCCAACUUCAGUAAAAUGAUCAUUACUAAUCUAAGUUCUAUAAGCUGAUGCUAGUAAAAGGAUUUCAAGCUUGGUAACAGUUUCUUAGUCAUUCAACCUAGCCAUCAAAUGUCCUUGGUCACUAAUCAAGAUUUUCUGGGGGCUGGGGGCCUUUAUUGAGAUUCCUUAAUGAUUCCAGAUAUGUGCUAUGGAACAACCUCAGAACUCCCUUUUCGAAGAAUAUAAAUAACUUGCACAGUUAUGAGUACCAACGAGUUUCGAAGUAAUGGUAAACAGCCAAUUAUCAGAUAGAUACUUAAACUCGGCCUUGAAGAAAAUGUGGUACAUGGUGGGUACAUGAUGCGACUGUGCAUCUACAUGUGUGUACAUAAAACAGAAAAUGAAGAGUAAACAGCCUAACCUGUAAAAGCAGGUGGUAAGCAUCCCAGAGAAAGGACUUCAAAUUGAACUGAAUCAAUUUUGUACUGAGGAAUCUGCUCAGCAAUGAUGGGGUCUACUAUGGUUUUCACUUGCUUACAAAUUGCCUGCAUUUGGUCAUCAGAACCUACCUUAAUAGAGUCAAAAGUAUUGAAAACCAAAAAGAAAAAAUAAGCUAACAGUACCUUGUCUAAAUAAGGCCACAUUUUCUCGAUGAAUUUAUUAAGCCAAUCAAUCUGCACAUAAAUAAUAGAGAAAUUGAUUGUCAAAUACAGCAUUAUAAUCAGAUGAUCCAUUUACAAAUGCGACUAACAAGCUAUGAUGCUUAAGAAUAACACUACUUAUAACUGUUUCAGCAGAUACUCAUGUCCAGAAGCAUACACGGUCAUGGUCUGGAUUCUUCACCCACACUGGUAUCUCUUGAAGCAAACUUUGCAGAGUUUCUGCAUCAUGUUCAACCAAGGGACGAAUAACAGGGUCCUAAACAAAGCAAAAUUCAAAAAAAUUAAAAUCAUAUAAACAAAGAAGUGCAAAGUUAUCCCAUUAGAGAAAAAGCUGUUGCAUAGUCCACAAACAAUAUCAUUGUGUCAAAAAUAUCAACUGAAACGCUUAGCAUAAAAAACAAACCGACAAAUCAUCAAGCUUACUACACAUAACCAACCUAUUAUAAUCAACACUAAACAAGCUAUAAUCAUUGAGGUAAUUAUCCAACACAUUACAAAGACCUCAUAUAUAAUCUGUCUACCAAGGAACAUACCAGAGAAAAGACUAGAAAAAUCACAAAACUACAAUAUAUGUUUCAUAACACAUUAUAAUAAAGAUGAUAACAAGCUGAAGUGUACAAUAAAAACAACAAAAUACAAAAACAAAAGAGAAAAGACCUUGACAUGAGUUGAUUGGAAGUAGAUAAAAAGGUAAUAGCCAACUAAAAGGCCAAGAGAAAUUCCCAUUCCAAACCCAAUAAAACCAGUUAUGGUACUCACUAUACCCAUCCUCAACCUUCUUCUUGAUCACCAAAAUAUUAUUACACAACUGAAAAACCAGAAAACCAAACAGAACCCACAAUUCUCUGACAAGUGUAUCACAAUCUCAACAACCCAAAACUCAGAAAAACAAAAAGAACAAAUCUAAAUAUCCUAAAAUGUACCAGCCCAUUAUUCAAGUAUCAUACUUUCUGUGUAAGAAAAGGCAAAAACACAAAUUUUAAACCAAAGGUGGUUCCUUUAGGCAAGUAUGUGAGAGAGAAAGAGAAGCAUCUUUUUGGGUUGUGAGGAUGAAAAUGGAAAGAGCAUGUGUACAUGGUAAUAGAAUAUAGUUGUUAUAAUUAUGGAAAGGCCCCAUUGCUAUUGGAUCCAAGUAGAACGGAACGGGGUUCAUAUGUUGACACUCAAGCGCCUAUACGUAUAUAGUGUAGAUAUAGAUAUAGUGUCGGUAAACUCGGCUGUGAAUUCGUCCAAUUGGCAACUUCUGCAUUUUUAUUAUUCAGCAUAAAGUUAUGGUGAAUUUACAUGAAGGACAACAAAAGGACUUCGUCAGAAAUAAAAUUCGAUAAAAUAUAAAUCAUAGGAUAAUAUGAAUCUAACUUAUAAAUAAAAUAAUAAUUUUAAUAUUUGUUAAAGUUGAGAGAUAUUCACGAUUAAUUAAUAAUUAUGUUUAAGAUUAUAUAUCACAACUCCAAACAUGAAAAAUUCUUAGUUAAAAGGUGAGUUGACACAUCAAAUUUAAAAAAUAUUGAUAAACUUUUGAAAAUAUUACACUUCAGCCAUAGUCUUCCAACCAUAGUCUCUCCUUAUUAUAAUUACUAAUAAUUACUAGUAACCCGUGUAAUGCAUGGAACCUUUUUAAUUGUGUGAUAAAAUUUUAUUCUUAAUAUAUUUAAAAUGAUAAAAAAAUUAUUUAUCAAUAAUAAAUCAUAAUUUCAAAUUAAAUAAAAACAAAAUAUGACAUUAUAUUAUUUUUAAGGCAGAACUAUUUGUGCCGUACUAACAUCUAGUCUGGUCCUUUUGGUCACCUCUUAAUUUUAAACUUUGUCUUUGUUUAAGUAGCAUUGUUAUGUUGUUCGCAACAUCGUUUAUUAUGAUCAGCUCUUUGUUAUUCUUUAUGUGUCUUUUGAAAUGUUUUUCUAUGAAAUCGUAUGCUCGGCUUUUAUUCCUCUGAUAUAUUCAUAUUUUGAUAUUAACAAAAUUUUACGAAAUGAUUUUUACAAAAAUGAGAGGAGAAAUUAGUAAGCUUAUGUAAAGUGAUUUACGUUCAAGAUCUUGGCCAGUUGUAUAUUUGAAAGAUUUUGGUGUCAUCCCGGAUGUUGAAGAUUCUACCAUGUAUAAUAUUUUUUGUUAAUUUGUAUUUGUAUGAAGAAUUUUGUAUGUUAUAUCAAAUUCUAUUAUGAUAAUUUCACGUCUUUCUCUUUUUUUUUUGUUGAUAUGUAUUUGUGCAGUAGGUUCUAUAUUAAAUGACGUUUUGGUCACUCAACUGACCGGAAACUUGCAAUUGGAUCAUCCAACUCAAAAAACUUUCAGUCACAUGAUAUGUAUUUGUGCAGUAGGUUCUAUAUUAAAUGACGUUUUGGUCACUCAACUGACCGGAAACUUGCAAUUGGAUCAUCCAACUCAAAAAACUUUCAGUCACAUCAUUAUACUCUUAAAAAUUUCAUUCUGGCCGUUAAACUUUUUUAAAAUUUGACGGAAAGGUGACUAAGCGUGGUGACUUGACUUAAAUAAAUCCACCGUGACAUGUACAAGUGGCAUUUUGGUCACUCAAUUGACUACAAACUUGCAAUCGGAUCAUCAAACUCAAAAACAUUUUAUUUAGGUCAAAAGGAAUUGUGAUUACCCAUGAUUGAAUCCACUCACCUUAAAACCCUAAUUGUAGUGUGUUUUGGGGUCAAUGAAUUAUUAGUAUUAUUUGGAUUAAAAAAGAACAAUUUAUAUUUACAUGAAAUUAAGUCCCCAAUUUCUGAAAUAAAAGCUACUUAGACUUCUAAAUGAUUUUGAGGGCUUGAAAUAAUUUUUGAAACUAAAAAUAAAAAUCAAAAUUAACAAAAUUAUUUAGCAAUUUUAAGUCAUCCAUAGAUAUAAUAUAAUUUA